CGUCGCUCGCAUCGCACCGAUGGUUGGUUGGUCUGCUCGUUCCGCUUCCGUGAUUGGCUCACGUGAUCGUUGAAAGUUCAGACCAACUCAGGAUUGACUUGCUGUCAUGGACGUCGCCGCCGGCACAGCAGCCGGUCUGGUCCACCAUUGAUUCACAUGUUCAUUGCUUAAUUUUUUAUUUUCUUUAGAGAGGAUUGCUUCGCGUGUUUGGUUUAAAAAAAGGGAGAGCUGGCCUUUUUGAGUUGCUUGCUCUCGUGUACAUAGGCUUUCGGUUGUUGGUUUGUCCAGAUUGCUUCUAGUGGGUUUCCUUUUUAUUGGCUUGCACUCCUGUACAUAGGCAUUUUGGCUUGGCUUGUAUGCACUGCAUGCCGUGUUCCUUUCUUGUCAGUGCUCCUUUCUUGUAAGCACAAUCUUUUUAUUUGUUGCAUGUAACUUGAAAGUCUACAGUCAAUUUAUUUGUUGUAACAUAGGAUUCUACAGUAAUCAUCAAUCAGAUGCAGGCAACAUCCUGCAUUCUUUUAUUUGUUGUAACUUGAAAUUCUGCAGUCAAUUUAUUUGUUGUAACUCGAGACAAUAAUGCGAACAACAUACGUGCAUUACAAAGAUUAGUGGGGAAGAAAAAACAAGAUUGACAAGAAGCACUUGAUAUGUAAUAAUUUCAAACAUGUUUCUAACGUAAAUACCACAUACAUGAAGAAAACACACACGCUAAUUUCAUAAAAACAAUGGGGGUGAAUGGUGCCAUAAAAAACAUAAGUGGCUAACAAAUUACUGCCAGACAAAACCUAUAUCAAGACGAUAGUUGCAUGGUGAUUGAUCUCAACCGUAGAGUUUCAGUAAAAUAUCUUACCAGACAGAAAUAUAAAAAUGCACUCAAAUCUUCAGACCAACCUGAAGACAUAUAGAACCCACAUGCAGCUACCCAUACAUGCCCAAAUUAUUUGAUUGCAAUAUUCUUUAGAGUGAAGAUCCUACCAAACAUCUUCUAUUUACAAGUACUUCUUGUGAAUCCUAAACCCGCAGUUGCAUCGAAUAGAAACAGUGUAAAAUCAUCUAAUCCUUGUCCACUUUGGGUGUGGAAUCCUUCUUGGCAGCCUGGGACUCCAGCUCCUUGGGUACCGAUCGCUCAGCAGAUCUGUGGAGAUCAAAGAUAUAGUAGGUGGGGAUCAGAUCAAAUAUGCUGUGUUGACUUUACCAUAGUAUGAAGCCUUGAAUAAAACAAAGGAAAUAGAAACCAAUCCAACCACGGUAUUAUAGAAUGGAAUUAAUAAAAUUUAAUGUUAUCUUCGAAAGGGAGCUUUGUAGAAAUGUGAUGUCAAACAUAAUUUGCAGUUUCAAACCACUGGGACAUAGUGCAAAGGUGAAAGACUAGCAAGUGCUGCUAAUGCCAUUUUGGAACAUGAGAUUAGUAGAACUUUUUUUUAUCAAACUCAGUGGAUAAAGGCUAGUUAGAGCACUGAUAAAUUGAAUUGUACAAGAACAAUUGGCAAGAGCAAUUCCUGCCUAGCCCUCUCUUAAACUGAUGCGAUGCCAAUCAAUAUGGUUAAGCCUUCACAUCAGGAACCAAUGCACAGCAUGGAAAAGAAGGGCAAGAAAAGAAGGAAUGAAAAACCAAGGUGUGGAACUUGGGGACAAGUUGGCUCUCUUUGGCAUUGCCAAUAGGCAAUAGGCACAUGCUUUUAGGUAUCGAGAAGAAGUUGAGGUGGCUAGCCUAGCAUGUGUAAUCCUUUAUGACUAGUUUUUGAUAAAGCUAAAUAAAGUUCAUAAUCAUUUAACACAAGUGUGUUAAUUAUAGCCUCUUCACAAAGGAAGAAAUAAAAGCACAAAGAAAGCUACAAAAGAAACCAGGCUAGCAUCUAAACUGGAGGUGAAAUUUGUUACAAGCCUGAGCUCAAUAUUAACCACAACCAUUAUUGGUGGUAUUAAUUAAAUAAUUCGCAAUAUUUCAGGCUUUCAGCUAAAAUGUGUUAUCAUGAAUGAAAUGAUGAAUAUGUUGUCAGCAAAGGAUGGAAGGGCCUGUAAGGCUCCAGAGUGACAUAAGGUGCUGGGCCAAGAUAUUGAAAUACUAAGUUUAUAACUUGAAAGGCAGAAACCUAAAUCUGAAAGAAAGCUUACACUAUCAUGCAACAUUAAAUCUACAAAAGGGGUAAUUUCCAUAGUGAAAUGGUUUUGUGCGUAAUCACCAUUCUCUCUCCUCUGCGCUCACUCCAAACUCCAAAGGGGUGUGUUUUGAAGAAACAAAAUUCAUGGAUGUUCAUCAUGCUAUAAAGUGUACACAUGAAAAUUAUGGUACAAAAUAAUGACCAUACAUUUUCUGCGCCCUAAGUUUUUUUCGGCACAACAUGAGUAGUGAAUAGUAUGCAUUCAGAGGUUCAAUUUUCCUUUUUGACGAAGUCACAUGCAGUCAUAUUUGGGCACAAGCUUUGCACAUAACCGUGUGCAGAAUUCGGGUCCUCUAUAAAAGUUGAGACUGGCCAAGCAGGUGGAAACAAAACUGAAGAUUAUAUCUUCUAGUGAGGGAACUACUUGUCGCCAAUGAAUCAAGCCUGGAAUGAUAAUUCCAGCACUAGAAAACCACUGAUGAUAAUUUCCAGUACUAGACAAACACGAUAAAGAAUUUAUACCAAACAGGCCAAAUGGGGGAUAUGAAUCUACACCAUAUCUAUCUCUCGCUGCGAUGCAGGGAUAACCUAAUUGAAAAAUACGUAGAUCUAUGAUUUUUCAAUCCGUUGAAUAUAACAACCCUGAGCUACCUCGGAUGAGAACACAUCAUAUUGUAAUUUCACAAAGAGCAAAGCAAUCUGAUACUACUAAGUAAGAUCUAAGCCGAUGAUCCCGAUUCCUCCAGCUCCACUGCAAUUGACUCAGAGAACAAUCGACUAGUGCAAGCAAGGGAGGGGGCGGAGAGCGUACGUGGUGGCGGUGGACUCCUCCUCGAGCCAGGUCUUGAUGUGGCGAAUGUUGCGGCGGAAGACGGCGGACGACUGCUUCACGUCCUUCCGCAGCAGCAUCACCGCCGCGCCCACGCCCACCACCGUCAGGAUCAAGUUGGUCAACGCCAUCGCCACACAACAACUCCUCUGUAGAACCCUAGCGCGAGGCGUGGAUCGUCGCCGGAGUUUGGGGCGAGAAAGGGCCUGCUGACGGCGUCGGAGCAGAGAGAUGAGGUUUUGAGAUAUGGGCUUGCCUGCUCGGAAUAAUAAGAUGGGGCCUGCGCGGUGUUGCUGGCCCGUUAAAGGCCCACAUGCUACCUCACAAGGCUGAAAGCCCAGCUUCUGUUAACUCCUCCCCGCUGAGACGUCCAACACCCACCGCCGGUCACGAAUUGGCGGCGGCGGCGGCGACACGGCAAGAUGCUAUCCCGCGCCCGGCGCCUCCACCCCGCCAUCCGCUGCCUCCUCCGUGCAACCGCUGCACCCUCGUCUCCUCACCCUCUUCCCACACAACACAUCCUAACUGGCUCCCAAAUCCCUAAACCCUUCCCCCUCCUGCGCCGCCACCUCUCGUCCCCACCGGCGCCGGUGUCUUCCCCUCCGGCGGUGGUGUCUUCUGACCUCCCAGCCGUCUGUACCAAUGGCAAGUGCCCGGGUUGCGGCAUCGCCAUGCAGUCCGCCGACCCGGCCCUCCCCGGCUUCUUCAACCUCCCAUCCCCCAAGUCUCCCGACUACCGCGCGCGCCUCGCGCCCGUCACCGCCGACGACACCGGCAUCUCGGCCUCCCUGAAAAGCGGGCUCCUCCAGGAGGGCCAAGAGAACUCACGGGAGGGCGGGGCGGUCGCGGUGGUGGCGGCGGCAGCGGAGGCGGAGGCCGAGAAGAAGAGCAAGGUGGUGGUGUGUGCUCGGUGCCACUCGCUGCGCCACUACGGCCACGUCAAGCGCCCCGACGCCGAGGUCCUGCUCCCGGACUUCGACUUCGUGGCCGCCGUCGGCCCGCGCCUCGCGUCGCCCUCGGGGGCCAGGUCGCUGGUGCUGCUCCUCGCGGACGCGUCGGACUUCGACGGCUCCUUUCCGCGCGCCGUGGCGCGCCUGGUCGCCGUCACCAGCGAGGCCCACCACGCGGACUGGAAGCGUGGUGCGCCGUCUAACCUCCCCCGCGCAGUGCUCGUGGUCACCAAGCUCGACUUGCUCCCGACGCCGUCGCUUUCCCCCGACGACGUGCACGCGUGGGCGCAGGCCCGCGCGCGCGCCGGUGCUGGCGCGGACCUGCAGCUGGCCGGCGUUCACCUUGUCAGCGCGGCGCGAGGGUGGGGGGUGCGCGACCUGCUGAACCACGUGCGCGAGCUCGCCGGGGCGCGCGGCAAGGUCUGGGCUGUUGGCGCGCGGAAUGUGGGCAAAUCGACGCUGCUGAAUGCCAUUGCUCGGUGCUCUGGGGCAGAGAGCGGGCAAACCUUGACAGAGGCGCCUGUUCCGGGAACAACCCUCGGGGUGAUCCGGGUGGAUGGCGUUCUUGGUGCUCAGGCCAAGCUGUUUGAUACUCCGGGCCUGCUUCAUGGACACCAGCUGACGUCCAGACUUACACCCGAGGAGCAGAAGCUUGUUCAAGUGAGGAAGGAGAUGCGACCCAGAACAUACAGAAUAAAGGUCUCAUUCCGUCCAUCUUAUGCACAUUUUGUCAGUGAAUUUUGUGAUUAGGUGAUAUGGGGACAGCUUCGCUGCUUGUUUCCUCAUACCCUUGGUCGCCCGUAUUUCUUUUCAUUAAGCAAUUGUGAAUGGUUGGGAGGGGGUAGUUAAUUCACCCUUUAAACAGUAACCAUAUUUUGUUAGUCUGAAACUGAAGUUGACAAAUGUGUGAUGAUAUACUGGAUUGGGGAAUUAACACCCUGAGUGUGCUUAGAAAGUUCAGUUCUUAGACUUUUGACUAUAUAUAUCACAUGUCUGCUUCAAUCCGAAAUGACAUGAAUAGUCUUUCGAUAAGAAUCACCUGUGUGACAGGUUCUUAUAUUUCUAAUUCGUUUUGUUUACAACCUUUUCAGGCAGGGCAGUCCAUACAUAUAGGAGGGCUAGUGCGCCUGGAUGUGGAAGACUUGACUGUAGGAUCAAUCUAUGUUACAGUUUGGGCAUCACCACUUGUGCCACUUCACAUGGGGAAGACCGAAAAUGCAGAGUCUAUGAUGAAAGAUCACUUUGGCUUACAACUGCAGGUAUCUUCUAUCUCAUCCUUAAAAAGAUGUUGUUUUUAUCCUAAUUCAUGUACAUCAUAAAAUAACUUGCUGCUUGGUGUGAUAUGUGCAGCCCCCUAUAGGCCAGAAACGAGUGAAAGAGCUUGGGAAAUGGGUGAGGAAACAAUUCAAAGUUUCUGGAAAUAGUUGGGAUGCAAAUACUAUGGAUAUAGCCAUUUCAGGUCUUGGCUGGUACGGAAUUGGGCUGAAAGGAGAGGCAGUAUUAGGGUUAUGGACAUAUGAUGGUGUUGAUGUUGUCCCCAGGAGCUCCCUUGUCCAUGAGAGGGCAUCGAUUUUUGAGGAAACAGGAUUCUCAGUUUCAAAAGUCGUCUCACGGGCAGAUAGCAUGACGAAUAAGCUGAAAGGCAAUAAGAAAACAAGCAAGAAGGAGAUGAAAGCCGGUUCACAUUCUUCUGAAGUAUCGGAACUUUCAGAACUUGCUACGGUCAUAGAUGCUUGAGUGUUUCAUUCCAUUCUGUGAUACGAGUUUCAGUUAUAUAAUCAUAUCUUAUAAACUGUUGGCUGAGGUUUGAACCACAUAGAAGCAUAGUACUCCCUCCGUCCGGAAAUACUUGUCAUCAAAAUGGAUAAAAAGGGAUGGAUCUAGACGUAUUUUAGUUCUAGAUACAUCUCUUUUUAUCUAUUUUGAUGACAAGUAUUUUUGGACGGAGGGAGUACAAUUUAAGCUUGCUUGGAGGGGUAUGGUUGUUCAUGGAAGAUUUUUGUGGGAGCAUGGGUGUCAUUUGGACUUGCUGUUGACUGGUAAUAAUAACCAAAUAUCAGUCAAGUGAAUCUUUGUUAGUAUGCUUGACUCCUUAAAACAGCAAGAGAAUGCCUCUCAUGGUCUGUUCUCUCUUACCUUGUUUCAGCAUCCAUGUAUCUAACGUUUUGUGUUACUACGUCAAACAUGCAGAAUUGCGAUAGUCAGUUUUUACAUCUGAAUCAUGUGGCGAAUAUAUUGCGCUUAAGUUAUAUAACUUCUGUGUUGGAAUUUUGAGACAGAAAUCUACGGAUUCACAGCUCAUUUAUCUAUCAAAGAAGAUUGCCAGAGACUUGUAAAUCCCGUUGCACCCUUCACACAGUAACAGCUCUCAUUUUGCCAAAGAACAUCUCACUGAAUCCUUUUGCUGCUUCGGCUUGCUUUUUGCUGGACUAGUUAUGUAAGGUUUUUGUCUACAUUUGCAUUGACUGUGACCUUCGUUUCUUGAAAUGGUACCAUUCUUAUGUACUACUAAUGCUACCAAAAACACAACAUGAUGUUCCUUUUGCAUAAAAACUGGAGAGGUUUCAAGAAAUGUGCAUGUGUGUACAAAUGGUCUCACAGAAGCAGGCACAGGGUUGCUGUCAAUUGACAAGUUUUCUGGAUGAUUAAAGAACAGCAUGUGAACAUCUGUGAAGCCGAAAAUUUCAAAAAAAAAAAAAUCUGUUGGUAGCUUACCAAAGCAUCUCUGAAGCCUCAAGGCGUUUUUUUAACAUUAUUUCUUCGUUCUCGUUGAGAAGAUGCAUGUUCACUCAACAGUCUGGAAUUGUACGCUGUGACUUGUAAAUCUGCAUCAGAAAAUCACAUUAAUUGGACGGUAGAUGUACUGCAAAAUUAGCAGGUACUCCAGUUAUAUGCAAAAUUUUGGCGCAUGCUUCCAUCACUGAAGCAAAAUAAGUAGGUACACCAGCACCGGAUGAGGCAGAAACUCAUAACUUGCACCUGGUUCGGUUUCUGCUUUGCCUGUCUCGUCUGUUAUGUUAUCUGAGUCAUCAAUCGUGUAAAAGGUACUCUCUCUACAUUAGUGAUCUAAACGAUCUUAUAUUUCUUUACAGAGGGGAUAAUUUGGAAGAACGAUCUGAAAUGCAAUAUACGUUCGGCAAGUAGAAGAAGCCUGCCUUUUCAACCCAAAUCUUCAGAUACCAUCUUUGACGUAUUAAAAAACAGCAACUUUUCAUGUUAAUUGUUAUUAACGGCUGAGUUUCGCCGUAUCAACUUUUGAAAAGUUCUUUUAGGGUAAACUUUCAAAAGUUGACGGAUAUACUUGCUUUUAGCAAUUGAAUGUCAAAAGAGUCGAGACUAUGAGAAACAGAAGCACAUUUGGUCGACGACCCACGAAGACCGGGGAAUAAAUCCACAAACCCACGGUUCCGGAUGACAUGAUGAGGGAACCUUAAGUGCCCGUGUAGCGACCAGACCUCAAACAGUCUAGUCUCUGUGCAUCAGUGUCAUUCCUGGAUCGGUAAUGCUGACACGCACAGUACUUGAGGAUUUAUAACAGAGUCUCAAUCACACACUUAUUACAUCGAAUGUCUCAAAAGAGAACUUAUUACAAUACUAUGGCUUAAGGCCAUCUAAAUAAGAUAACAACGGGAGGCUUGGAAGAUAAAGUGAGUCCAUCAACUCCAACGGCAUAGCUGAGUGAACGACAACGACCUAUGGCACCUUACUCGUCGUCUGAAAAGUCUGCAACAUGAUAUGUUGUAGCCCGAAACAGGUCAGCACAUGGAAUAUGCUGGCAAUAUAACACAAGAGAGUAAUGAACAUAAUAAAUGCUAUCACUACAUGCAUAUAUGACUGGUGAAAAGCUCUAUGGUUAUUUUUUUGCAAUAAGCUAUUUUUUCCCUAUAACAAAGGAAUAGAUUUUAUUUAACUAUCAUGGUGGUUGUUAAACAUUGAGAAUAUUUCUCCAACUCAAUCUCAAUUAAGCAAUAUCAAUUAUACCCAAUAAAUUAAUUUAAAGUGAUGAGAUCAACAUGAUAAUCCAAGAACCAGAUACUCAAGAUGUCCAUAACCGGGGACACGGCUAACCAUAAUUAGUUUGUACACUCUGCAGAGGUUUGCACACUUUUCCCCACAAGACUCGAUCUCCUCCAUUAGAUUUCUCGCACUACAUGGUGUCUGAGAAACGGAUGACCGAGACACAGUCUUUCAGAAACAUUGACUCUUUACUCUGGAUGGACAGUUACACCUACUUUCCCCUACAUCUGCUAGCCCACCACUGAAAGAGGUCAUGCAACCUACUCAACUAUGCUAGAGCCCAUAAUAGCUUGUGGCUGCACAUGGAAGUUUCUAACAUGAAUAAUCUUAUGAUCCCUUUGAGCCUGGGUGGCGGACCGUAGGGUAGUCACACGGGUACUCCGGGAUAUCCUAGGACAACACUGGAUUCUCCAGGUGCCCUGACAACCACUAGGUACUCCAGGGUGCCUCAACCAAUCCACCCAGAUGUGUAUUUAAGUAGCCACCUUAAGUUAACCAUUAAUUAACAAUUCUCACAUCUAUCAUGGAUACACUCAACAAAUCCAUGUCUACGAGCAUAGCAUAGCAAUCUUGAGCAAUCGUAGAAGUAACUCCCAAAGGUUUGAUAAUAAAAGGGCAAUAGGUUCUACCUCAUCAUCUACUUCCCAAACCCACAUGUUAUUCAGAUCCUAACCAUGCAAUGUUUGAGGAUUGAGACUAAUGCAAAAAAACAGGGUAAUAAAGAGGUAUGAUCAAAGUGUUACUUGCCUUGCUGAUGAUCCGCAAAACCUAGAGACUCGUAGUAGAACGCUUCGCACUCCGGGUAUUCUAUCGCAAACAAACAAUAACAUACAUAAGCACUCAACUAGAAGCAUGGGUAAAAUUCAAAUAAGAAGAUCUAACCAGAAAGUUCAACUGAAUAACUCCGGUUUGCAAAAAGAAUCAAAUCAAACGGAGCAACGAAACUCAAUCUACGAAAGAAACAAGAAUCGUUUACUAAUCUGGACUAAAGUCAAAUUUUAUAGUACCAAAAUCUUGUUCAAGUUGGUUAAACAGAAAUAGGGCUUCGAGACGAAGACCUAGGCGCUUGUUCUAAUUCGGAUAAACGAGCGAAAAGAUAAACUAGAUCGAAGAUCACGGCAGAAAUCGUGAUCGAAAAUAAUCGCGGAUAAACCCUGGAAAAUAAAACGAGACAAACAGGCUGACGAACGAACGUUCACUGUCUGUGACUAACCGACGGACAACGUUCAUUAUAACGAAUGUACGUACGAACGUCCGCUAAAUAACUAGACCGAAAAACCGAACCGAUCUAUUCUAAAAAAACAGAUCUAGGUUUCUAAAAAACCAAACGGUUAACCGAGAAAAAAAAACGACGAACGGCCGGCGGCGGCGGUGGCUACCUCCGGCGAGGCGGGGCGCGGGCUCCGGCGGGCGGCGUGGGUGUCAGCGGGAGGCGGCGGGUGGUGUGGCGGUGGCGUGGCAGGCGACGGCGGCUCCNNNNNNNNNNNNNNNNNNNNNNNNNNNNNNNNNNNNNNNNNNNNNNNNNNNNNNNNNNNNNNNNNNNNNNNNNNNNNNNNNNNNNNNNNNNNNNNNNNNNNNNNNNNNNNNNNNNNNNNNNNNNNNNNNNNNNNNNNNNNNNNNNNNNNNNNNNNNNNNNNNNNNNNNNNNNNNNNNNNNNNNNNNNNNNNNNNNNNNNNNNNNNNNNNNNNNNNNNNNNNNNNNNNNNNNNNNNNNNNNNNNNNNNNNNNNNNNNNNNNNNNNNNNNNNNNNNNNNNNNNNNNNNNNNNNNNNNNNNNNNNNNNNNNNNNNNNNNNNNNNNNNNNNNNNNNNNNNNNNNNNNNNNNNNNNNNNNNNNNNNNNNNNNNNNNNNNNNNNNNNNNNNNNNNNNNNNNNNNNNNNNNNNNNNNNNNNNNNNNNNNNNNNNNNNNNNNNNNNNNNNNNNCGGCGGCUCCGGCGGCGGUGGUGCACUGCUGCUGCGGCUUGCGGGGCGGGGCGGGGUGGCGAUGUGGGGGCGGCGGCGGUGCUAUUUAAGGGAGAAGAUGGGGCGGGGUGGCCUGGGGAAGGGGUUGGCGGCGGCGGGAGUCCGAGGCGGCGACGGGCGGCGGCGUGCGCGAGCGGGAGGCCGGCUCGGGGUCGGGGACGACGCGAACUGGGCCGGCUGUGCUUCGGCCCAGUUGGUGCGAAGAACUUUUUUUAAAAUAAUUCGGCCAGACAGAAAAAAUCCUAAAAAAUAUUAAAAAAUCCUAAAAAUGCCAAAACAAAUUUUUACCGUCUAAAUGAAAUAUUUAGAACAAGGUGAAUAUUUUUCUGGCCUGAAAAUACAAUUUUGAAAAACAUGCAAUUUUUCUAAUUCAAAUAAAAUAGCAAUAAAAUCCCAAUAAAAAUACUUAUUUGAUUAUAACAUAUUUCCUCCAAUAUUUCUUUUAUUUUGGAGAAGUCAUUUUAUCCCCUCUCUUUUAUUUUGACAUUGGAAAUAUUCGGAGACAAAAAGAUUAAAACUAAAAUGAUCCUCUUUUCAAUAUUUGAGAAAAUUCAAAUAUGAAAAUAACGAAAUCCCCAACUCUCUCCGUGGGUCCUUGAGUUGCUUAGAAUUUCCAGGAUCAACCAAAAUACAAUAAAAUAUGAUAUGCAAUGAUGAUCUAUGUAUAACAUUCGAAAUUGGAAAUUUGGAAUGUUACAAACCUACCCCCCUUAAGAUGAAUCUCGCCCUCGAGAUUCGGGUUGGAUAGAAAAUAGGUGCAGGUGGUCCUUCCAUAGGUCUUCCUCUCGUUCCCAUGUGGCUUCCUCCUCGGUGGCUCCAUUGAACUUUGCAAAACUUGAUAACCUUGCUGCGUGUGACUCAGCUGGCGUACUCGAGAAUCUUCACUGGUUUCUCCUCGUAGGUCAAAUCACUGUCCGACUGAAUCGCUUCGAGUGACAUUGUAUCUCUCAGAGGAAUAUCGACAUCUCUGCGUGGCACUUCUUCAAUUGGGAAACGUGAAACACAUCGUGAACUCCUGACAAUCCUUCUGGCAAUACUAGCUUGUAAGAAACUUCUCCCAUACAUUCCAAAACUUUGUAUGGUCCCACAAAACGUGGUGCUAACUUUCCCUUAACUCCAAAACGCUUAACUCUUCGAAGUGGGGACACACAAAGAUAUACUCUGUCACCGACUUCGUAAACUGUCUCCUUGCGUUUAGAAUCUGCAUAACUCUUCUGCCUGGACUGGGCUACCAUGAGUUGGUUGCGAAUCAGCUUAACCUUCUCUUCGGAUUCCUUAAUAAAAUCCGAUCCAAACAACUGACGGUCUCCAACUUCAUCCCAUAACAACGGUGUCCUGCACCUCCUUCCAUUCAAAGCUUCGAAAGGGGCCAUCUUCAAACUGGCUUGAUAACUGUUGUUAUAAGAGAACUCUGCAUAUGGCAAAUUGUCGUCCCAACUGGAUCCAUAAUCUAGCGCACAAGCUCUCAACAUGUCCUACAGAAUCUGAUUGACUCUCUCGGUCUACCAUCUGUCUGUGGAUGAAAGGCUGUACUGAACUCUAACCUAGUACAUAAAGUUUCGUGCAACUGAUUCCAGAACUUUGAGGUAAACUGGGUUCCUCUAUCUGAUACAAUGGUCCUAGGAACUCCAUGCAGACAUACGAUCCUGGUCAUAUAUAUCUUUGCCAACUUAGCACUCGUAUAGGUGGUCUUCACUUGGAUGAAACGAGCUACUUUCGUCAAUCGAUCGACUACAACCCAUAUCGAGUCAUAACCUGAACGAGUCCUGGGCAAUCCCGUGAUAAAGUCCAUACCAAGCUUGUCCCACUUCCAUUCGGGUAUCAGCAAUGGCUGCAGCAAUCCUGCUGGCUUCUGAUGCUCUGCCUUAACUCUCUGACAUACAUCACAUACUGCUACAUACUCAACAAUAUCCUUCUUCAUUCCGGUCCACCAGAAACUUUCCUUCAAAUCUAGAUACAUCUUGGUGUUUCCUGGGUGAAUCGAAUAUGGUGAAUCAUGGGCCUCCUGCAGAAUCAACUUCCUGAUCUCGGGGUCAUUAGGCACAUAUACGCGAUCCUCAAACCAUAAAGUGUUGUGCUCAUCCUCAUGAAAUCCUUUGGCCUUUCCUUUGCUCAUCCUUUCCUUUAUCUCGGCAAUCUCCUUGUCAGUCUUCUGAGCUUCUCUGAUCUUAUCCAUCAAAGUGGACUGAAUUUCCAAUGCUGCUACAUAACCUCUCGGAACUAUUUCCAAACAUAGCUCGCGAAGAUCUUCAGCUAACUCCUUGGGUAAUCCUCCGGUCAUGAGCGUAUUAACAUAAUUCUUGCGACUCAAUGCAUCGGCUACUACAUUAGCCUUUCCAGGAUGAUAGUGCAACUUCAUAUCAUAAUCCUUAAUGAGCUCCAACCAUCUCCUUUGCCUGAAAUUCAACUCCUUCUGUGUGAAGAUAUAUUUCAAACUCUUGUGAUCCGUGUAUACCUCACAGUGGUUUCCGAUGAGAAAAUGUCUCCAUGCCUUCAACGCAUGCACUACGGCUGCUAACUCCAAAUCAUGUGUAGCAUAAUUCAGCUCAUGAGGUUUAAGUUGCCGCGAGGCAUAUGACACAACUCUUCCUUCCUGCAUAAGCACUGCUCCAAGUCCUCGACGUGAAGCGUCGCAAUACACUUGAUAAUCCUUUCGUUGAUCUGGAAGAAUCAACACUAGGGCUGUAACCAAACGUUUCUUUAACUCCUGAAAACUGGCUUCACACUCCUCAGUCCAUUUAAACUUGGUGUCCUUCUUCAACAACUCUGUCAUGGGCUUUGCAAUCCUGGAGAAAUUCUCAAUGAACCUCCGUUAAUAUCCUGCGAGUCCGAGAAAACUCCGGAUCUCUCCAACUGACGUGGGUGCUACCCAUUUAGUCACAGAAACAACCUUGGUGGGGUCUACUGCUAUUCCUUCUCUGGAUAUAACAUGUCUGAGAAAUCCAACUUCCACUAUUAGGGAAAAGCCUAGCAGUAGGGCUGGUUUUUGGCCUAUCAGUAGCGCGGGAAACCGCGCUACUGAUAAGGCGCUACAGCUAAAGCUUAGCAGUAGCGCCUGCUAGCACGCGCUACUGCUAUAUCUACUUAGUAGUAGCACUUUCCUAAACAAGCGCUACUGCUAAUUACUAGUAGAGCUUUCGAGAACAAUCGCUACUACUAUUAUUCCUAGUUCCAUUUCUUUUUUAUUUUAGGUCGUAUUCAUACAUCUGUAUACAAUUUUUCAUACAGUAGCGAUGUAGAGAUUGUUUUAACAUCAUAAUGAGUUAUUAAAUCACUAGGUGAAAGAACUUUGGAUUAGUUUCAAGUGCAUGGAUCCAAAGUAACCAAUGGUCACUUUGGAUCCUUCCAUUUGAAACUUACAUGCGGUUCUUUCACCCAAUGACAUAAUAACUUAUCACUUAUCAUCAUAAUAUAUGAUUGCCAUAUAACUCCUCAUAAUCAUCAUUUUCGUCUAUGAUGAGACAUCAUAUAACCACUUCGUCACUAGUUAUAAUAAGAACUCCUCCUCAUCAUCAUCAUCAUAGUACUCAUAAUCACUACUCCUACUCAACAUCACCAUCAAGUCUAAGACAUUGUAGUCAUAUAUAUAAUCAACACUAAAUAAUUGUUCUUAAUACUUAGGACCUACUCCUCUCUCCUAGCUAAAAUACCAUAAAACAGAUAAACUGGUCCUUCACCAUAAUGGAGAAUGGACAUAAACCUAUCUCCAACUUGUGGCUUGCGCACAUUCAUUUUGUCUCCAAUUAUUUGCAUGUGCGCAUUCAUCACUUUGCUCCAUUCUUUGAUUUUGAGCCUUCCAUCAUUUGAAGAAAUCGAGUAUGCAGUAUGGUAAGCCUCUAAAGGAGUUGGUCAUAAGCUACCAUAUGCAUAUCACCUUCGGUACAUAGCAUGUCAGGCACAACCUGCUUCAGGAGCCUCUGUUCAAAACCGAAAUAGUAACAUAUAUAGUUAGCAAUGAUGUUACUUAAGAAUAAUGUAUGCAAUGAAGUUACCAUCAUUAACAAAAUCUUACCAAGUUUUUGGCAAUGAAGUUACCAUCAAGCAAUUUAUGGACCAGUGGCACGUAUCUAGUAUAAUUUGGGCUACUAGAGUGACUGGUUUUGAAGGCCUCAACAUCUUCUAUGAAUGAGACAAGAUAACCUUUCUCCUCACAAUUAAGCUUGAAGUCAUAGCUGUAGUAUGUGCUAUCUACUACCUUUCGAGUAUUUCUUGAAGAUAAGAAUAAGCUGACAAUUAUAAAUAAAUAAGUUUAGUACGGACGAAUACCAAAUAUUUUUAAAUUAACAACAUAAAUUACUGAACUUAACAAAUUAGUUUGACAAACUCACAUCUAGGUAAAACUGGAGGCAUAUCCACAUCCACCCAGAUGUCGAUAUCAUCAUCAUAAUAAUAAUCUUCGGGACGAAUAUCUAAUUUUAUUUGCAUUCCCUCCUCAAAUCCAUAUGCCUUGCAGAGAGCUUCCCAAUUAGAGCAACCGAAAUGGGAGCGAUCGGCCGCAUUGUAGAACUUAACCAGAAACUCAUAACCAUGUUUAGUUCUUAAGUGAGCCCUCCUCGUCUCCACAUUCUCAAAGUCAUCUAAACCAAAACCAAGCUUCUCCAAUAUAUAUGGUCUAGCAUGGCACGGGAUGUACUAGUCGAAUUGAAAAAAAAUCCAUAAAUUACAUGUUGAACAAAAGAAGCACAAGUGAUGAUAUUUAUUACGAUGAAAUGCUUGUCAUUGCAUACCGUACAAACAUCGAAGGUCUCUUCCAGCUUCAUGGUGAAAAACCUAUCAUUUUGCAGGUGAGAAAACCUGUCGCACACACCACGGUCAUCGUACUAGUACCCGCACUCCGGGAUCCCAUCGUCAUCAGGCAUCUCCUGUGUUCAAAAUUCAAAGAUUAUAACUCGAGGCAAAACCCAAAAAAUCUGGCAUGACCAUUGCUAAAAAAGACAUAUCGAGCGCCGGAAAUUUGCCGGAACGGAAAUUAAUCAACACCCCGACAAAACAUAGGCCACUUAUCGAUGGUCAUUGCAUUUCAAUGGUUCAAAAUAUAAAAAAAAACAUUUGAAAAUAUCUUAUAUAUAAUCCUAACACUAAAUAAAGUAGUUUUAUUAACUACUUACUAAAUAAACUAGUUUUAUUAACUACUUACUAAAUAAACUAGUUCUAUUAAGCACUUACUAUAAAUAAACUAGUUCUAUUAAGCACUUACCAAAUAAACUAGUUCUAUUAAGUACCUAAUAUAAAUAAACUAGUUAUAUUAAUCACUUACUAAAUAAACUAUUUUCUAUUAAAUACUUGCUAAAAAUUCUACUACCCUAGUUCUACCCUAAAUUUUCUUACUUCUAUUUUAUUCAAAACACCUAUGAUUUGCAAGAAUAGAGACAAGGGAGGGAGGGAGGAGAGAGGAGGGGGAGGGNNNNNNNNNNNNNNNNNNNNNNNNNNNNNNNNNNNNNNNNNNNNNNNNNNNNNNNNNNNNNNNNNNNNNNNNNNNNNNNNNNNNNNNNNNNNNNNNNNNNNNNNNNNNNNNNNNNNNNNNNNNNNNNNNNNNNNNNNNNNNNNNNNNNNNNNNNNNNNNNNNNNNNNNNNNNNNNNNNNNNNNNNNNNNNNNNNNNNNNNNNNNNNNNNNNNNNNNNNNNNNNNNNNNNNNNNNNNNNNNNNNNNNNNNNNNNNNNNNNNNNNNNNNNNNNNNNNNNNNNNNNNNNNNNNNNNNNNNNNNNNNNNNNNNNNNNNNNNNNNNNNNNNNNNNNNNNNNNNNNNNNNNNNNNNNNNNNNNNNNNNNNNNNNNNNNGAGGAUGGAGCGGUGGGAGGAGGAGAGACAGAAGGAGGGAGUACCUCGGUGGCGGACGGACGACGGCGGCGGCGGCGAUGGACGACGGUGAUCGGCGCGGGCGAGAGCGAGGGGGAGAGUGAGUGAGAGAGAGGGGUCGGCCAUGCACGUGGGGAUAAGGUAGGGUUAGUAGUAGCGCGGGCAGCAAAACGCGCUACAGCUAAUGUGAAUAGCAGUAGCAAUGCGCUGGGAUGAACGCUACUGCUAAGUUGGAUUAGCAGCAGCACUUUGCUACGAAAAGCGCUACCGCUAAGUUGUUUGUCAAUGCAAAAAUACAUUGGCCAUCAAUGAUCUUUUUGUGUACAAUCUGAAUUGUCAAUAUGGGUCCUCUCCGGUAGGAACCGGAGAAGACUCAUAUUGUGGCCACAAAUUCUACACAUAGAGUUCAGUGAAGACCAAGUGGUUGUGAUAGUUUGAGGAGUAACAUAUUUAAGGUGGUAAACACCCUAUUCGCGGAGCGAGGUGGGGCUGAACUUGUGGGCUGAACUUAGCAGUAGCGAGUUUCAAAGAAGUGCGCUGCUACUAACAUCUGUAGCAGUAGCGCGGUCCAUUAUAGGGCGCUACUGCUAUAACUAGCUGGACAACCAUGUCAUGGCAAUUAGAGCAGUAGCGCGGUUUUGUGGGAACGCGCUACUGCUACUUUUCUUUCAGCAGCGCAUUUUCUUGGAGCGCGCUGCUGCUAAAUAGCAGUAGCGUUGUAUUUUGAAGAUCAUUGCUGGUAAGAUUUUGUGUAUAAGGUUUUCCCUAGUAGUGUUCCUUCAACCAAAACUCACAUUUGCUUAACUUGGCAUAUAACUGAUGUUCCCUGAGCUUCUCAAGAACCAAACACAAAUGCUCCUUAUGCUCCUCUUCGUUCUUCGAGUAGACCAAUAUAUCAUCAAUGAACACUAUGAUGAACUUAUCCAAAAACUCCAUAAACACUUUGUUCAUCAUGUUCAUGAAAUAGGCAGGCGCGUUAGUCAGACCAAAUGACAUAACGGUAUACUCAUAUAGCCCGUACCUUGUGGUAAAAGCUGUCUUAGGUAUAUCCUGCUCUCGAAUCUUCAGCUGAUGCUAUCCUGAUUGCAGAUUGAUCUUGGAAAAUACUUUAGCUCCUCGCAAUUGGUCAAACAAAUCAUUGAUCAUCGUCAUUGGGUACUUGUUCUUGAUCGUCACUUCAUUCAACACACGAUAAUCAACAACCAUCCUCAAUGAUCCAUCCUUCUUCUCCACUAUAAGUACUGGGGCUCCCCAAGGUGACGAACUUGGUCAAAUAUACCCUUUAUCCAGUAACUCCUUAAUCUUCUUCUUAAUUUCCUCCAAAUCCUGUGCGGGCAUCCAAUACGGUCUUUUUGAUAUUAGCCCGGUGCCUGGCAAAAGCUCAAUCAAAAACUCAAUGUCUCUAUUCGGUGGCAUGCCUGGCAACUCCUCUGGAAAUACAUCAGGAAAAUCCUUCACCACUGGCACUUCCUCUUGUACAACUCCUGAUAAGGAAUUCACUUGAGUCCUCUUCAGCAUAUGUCAGGAUACAUACUUAAUCCUGCUUCCUUCUGGGGUGGUGAGCAUAAUUGACUUACUGGCUCAACCGAUGUUUCCUCCAUACAUCGAUAGCCAAUCCAUACCCAAAAUCACAUCCAAUCCUUGCGACUCCAGAAUUAUCAGAUCCGAGGGGAAAAAUGCCUACCUAUGGUCAAUGGCAUCUGAAAACAUCAUUGGCUUGCCAUAUGCUCCGCUCCUGGUGAGCUUACUAACAUAGGUGUCCUAAGAACUUUGGUGGGAAACUUAUACUUAUCCACAAAUCCCAUUGAUAUGUAUGAAUGUGGUGCACCAGUAUAAAAAAGAACGAUUGCAGUAAAUGACUUAACCAAAAACUUACUUAUAAUUUCAUCUGGUAGCUCUUCAACCUCCUCCAUGCUAACGUGGUUCACUUGUCCCCUGUUGAAAGGGUUGGGCUUGUUCCCAGAGCUUCCAUUGCCAUUUCCAUUCUUUGCUUGAGAACACUCGAUGACGUAGUGUCCAUUCUUCCCGCACUUAAAACAAGUAAUGUGACUUAGAUCCUUUGUGGCAGGCGUUGCUGGGUUGGAACGGUUCUGGCCGUUGCUUCCUCCAUUGCCAUUCCCAUUCUUGGGGCCACUAUGGUUAUGCGAACUCCCUCCAUUGGAAUUAUGGCCUCCGUGGUUAUGGUGAAUGUGUCCUCCCGAAUUCGGGGUAAAACGAGGCCUCUGCUGAGCUCCUGAAUUGUACUUCCCUUGUCCAUACUUCCUCUUGCGGCUAUAUAUCUGCUGAUGCUUUCCUUCAAUCAUAAGAGCUCUAUCUACCAACUCCUGGUGGUCGUUGAAUGUUUCCACCAUCAACUGCAUGCUCAGUUCAUCAUUCAGUCCUUCCAGAAACUUCUCCUGCUUAGCAACAUUUGUAGCGACGUCAUCAGGGGCAUAACGUGCUAACUUACUAAACUCAUCCACAUACUGACCCACUGAGCGUCCUCCUUGGCGCAAGUUGUGAAACUCGCGCUUCUUCAUGUUCAUAGCUCCUGCUGAAACAUGGGUAGUGCGGAAAGCCUGCUGAAACUGGUCCCAUGUAACAGUGUCAAUGGGGUAAGUGGCUGUGAAAUUCUCCCACCAUGAUGAUGCAGGUCCAUCAAGCUGAUGUGCAGCAAAACACACUCUCUCUGCAUCUGUGCAUCCUGCAGUGGUCAGCUCCCUUCCAAUCUUGUGGAGCCAAUCAUCUACAACAAUCGGCUCGGUGCUACUAGAGAACACCGGCGGAUUCAGCCUUAGAAAACGGGCUAAAUGGUCAACAGGUGGUGGUGGUGGUGGGUUAUUGUUGUUGUUGUUGUUGUUGCCUUGGUUCUGAUUCUGAACUAGUAGCUGCAUCAAGGUAUUCUGCUGCUGGAUCAACUGGGUGAGCUCCGGUGGGAAAGCAAAUCCAUUGCCACGCCUCGGAGGCAUCUGAUUGGUUUAGAAAAGGUGAGAAAACAGAAUAGAAUGAGGUCUAGAGGGAAAACACUACCCAUAUACACAUGAGACAAACACAAUCAUAUCACUUCAAUAAAUUCACACAAGGGCUUACAAUCGGUCUAAUUAUCGUUACAAAAGUGCUCGGACUAUACUAUAUACAUGGGGGAAUACUACUACUGAUAUGGUGGUCGACUAGAAGUUUUAAUCGGUGGAAGACUCCAUCACUACAAGAAAUAUGUCAACUAGUGACCUUCUGUCAGUGACCCUGGAAGAAUUGGUCAUAAAUUUAUGACCAUUUUAGACCAAUUGGUCAAAAGCUGUUCGGGGGGCUCCAAACCCUAACCCAUAACGACCAUGCUAGUCAGAAAGGUUGUAAUUUCAUUAGUUAAAAUGGUCGUAAAUUAGACAUCCCUGGUCCGUGCCUCAUUUCUAGGAAAUUACGACCAAUAUGAAUGGUCGUUACACUUGAGCUUUAAUGCAGUUGUAUGAUUAGGCAGCCACCUCAGCAGUCUCGCCUAUGUGGAGUGCUUAGUUGUCAUUUUCGCUUACAUGUGUAUACUCAACGAGAUAUCGUUUAGAGGAGGGUCCCACUGGACAGGCGGGACCGAGCCCUAAAUUUGUUAGUAAAAAAGAUGCACGAGGGGGGACUUGAACCCACUGUCGGUGUCAAAACCGGCGGAUCUCGGGUAGGGGGUCCCGAUCUGUGCGUCUUAGGCUAAUGGUAACAGGAAGCGAGGGACACAAUGUUUACCCAGGUUCGGGCCCUCUCAAUGGAGGUAAAACCCUACUUCCUGCUUGAUUAAUAUUGAAGAUAUGAGUAGUACAAGAGUAGAUCUACCACGAGAUCGUAGAGGCUAAACCCUAGGAGCUAGCCUAUGAUGGUAUGAUUGUAAUUGUGAUCAGCCUUCUAAGGACCAACCUCUCCGGUUUAUAUAGACAUCGGAGAGGGGUAGGGUUUACACGGAGUCGGUUACAAGGAAGAAAAUACAAUAUCCAGAUCGCCAAGCUUGUCUUCCACGCAAAGGAGAGUCCCAUCCGGACACGGGCCGGAGUCUUGAGUCUUGUAUCUCCAAUAGUCCGGACGAUGUAUAUAGUCCGGCUGUCCAGAUACCCCCUAAUCCAGGACUCCCUCAGUAGCCCCUGAACCAGGCUUCAAUGACGAUGAGUCUGGCGUGCAGUUUUGUCUUCAGCAUUGCAAGGCGGGUUCCUUCUCCAAAUACUCCAAGGUAAUUAUCGAACACGUAGACCGUGUCCAUAUCUGCAAAAUGAUCUUCAUAUAUCACCGUAGAGAGAAUGAUAUUUCACAAAUGUACUCUGCUGACAACUUUUUAGACGUAACAUGUCAUUAUGGUCGGGUCAUUAUUCGAACCAUUUUCCUUCAACCAGCCACAUCGCAUAUUGCGAGGCGGUUUCCUUGACACGUCUUGUAAAAGCAGAGAUCGUGUCCCCUUAUCAUGGGAUUCUGAUCAAUACGGGUAUGGGUAAUCCCACCAUGCCAUCAGUCGUGGCACUUGGGAGGUAAGCGAUUCCCAACGGGCAAGUGGGGAGGCACACCGCUUCCGUCGCCUUUAUAAAGGGAUAAGAGUUCCCCAUUUUUACCCAUGCCUUCUUCCUCCUUUGCCCACUCUUGCCCCCUCGAGCUCCAGCGCCCUAGCCCAUGUCUUCUCCGCAUAGCUAAACAUGUCCGGAGCAGGAGGCAAGUGGGUGGCUUCCACCGUGAAGGAGAAGGAUAUCGCGAAUCUUCAGGCGGCCGGAUACUUGGCCGCAGACAUAGCGCACUGGCUACCAGAAGACGGGCAGGUCACUCCAACUCCAGGACCCCACGAGAGGGUCGUGUUUCUCGCCCACUUCAUCCAUGGACUGGGGUUUCCACUUCACCCCUUCGUCCGCGGGCUCAUGUUCUACUAUGGGCUAGAUUUCCAUGAUCUAGCCCCGAAUUUCGUCCUCAACAUCUCGGCGUUCAUUGUCGUAUGCGAGGCCUUCCUCCGCAUCAAGCCUCACUUCGGCUUGUGGCUGCAAAUCUUCUGUGUGAAGCCGAAGAUCGUGAGCAGCCAGCAAGCAGAGUGUGGAGGUGCCAUGGUGGGCAAGAUGCCUAACGUCACCUGGCUUGACGGUUCCUUUGCGGAAACCGUGAAGGGGUGGCAGUCGGGGUGGUUCUACAUCACCGAGCCGCGCGGUGCCAACUGGGCAGAGGCCCCCGAGUUCCGAUCUGGAACCCCCAUGCGGCUCACCUCCUGGGAAAAGAAGAGUCUGUCCUGGGGCGAAUCUACAGAGCUGACCGGACUCCAAAACUGCAUCAAGAGCAUGAAGGACAAGAACAUCAAGCUUGUCAACGUGAUCCAGGUCAUGCUCGUUUGCCGGAUUCUGUCGUGCCAAAGGCGGGAAUUCAAUCUGUGGGAGUUCAUCCUGACCGAACACCAGACGCUUCAGAGGCUCUACAGCAUGAAGCAUAAAGACGCGUGGAAGGCGUUGUUCAAGGCCUCCGAAGUACUUCCUCCUACAUCCGAGGACCGUGGGCUCCAUGCCGCGCGGCCUCCUAGUCAGGUGAGUUUUCAGGAUACCACCGGAUUCGGUUCUUCCCAAUAUAUUCAUGGGGGAGCCUUAAGUAAUUGUGCAUAUUUGUUCAGGAUUAUGUGGAGACAGCGGAGCAGAUUGACUGUCCGGCUCCGCUGCCAGAAAGUCCAGAUGAUGCUCUCCUGACGGAGAUGCUGGUCCCGGCGCCCUACAAGGUGCCGGAGAAGAAGGCCGAUAAGAAGGCCCCGGGGAUCUGAAAGGGUCUCCGACAUAAGAUUGCGCCAGAAACCUCGUCCGAAGGCGACGAGGCACACUCCUCCCCCGAAGGGGAGGAAGAAGAAGAAGGGACCACCCCACCCGGAGAGGGUGAGGGGCCCGAGAAGACGGAUCAGGGGGCCGAGAAAGGCCCUCGGUGCAAGGCCGUCAUACCCACGUCGUCUGAUGACGACGAGACAGAUUCCUCCCGCAGAGGCGGGGGAAACAAGAAGAAACUCUACCUCCCCGCACUGGGGAGGAGAAAAAGAGGAAAGCCGCUCCGGAAGGGGAGGCUGGGUCGUCCAAGAAGGGGAAGGUGUCCCUUCUAGACUACUCCGCCACGGCCGCCCAUAGCGAGGAGGGGUGGCUGCCAGGGGGAAGCCCCUAGCGCGAUCAUAAGUAUCCGCACUCUGUAAUGACUUUACUUCACAGUCUUUUUAUAACGCCGAACAUAUAAGUAGUCCGGCCAGGGUUCAUCCCGAGGUAUCUUCUUCGGAUGGAUCCCUGAGCGAUUCAGAGAUGAACUCGCUCCCGACGGUUACCACUCCUCAACCCGCGGACGACAUGGAGGUGUUGUCCCAAAGGCUCCCAGAGCGGGGGGGGGUGAUUCUAGAGACACCCCAAGGCGAAAUUCCAGAUGUCGGACACGCGGGGUUCAAGAUCCCCGCAGAUCGUGUCAGUGAGAUCUACAGUAGGCCGGGCUCUCAACCGAACACUGUUCCAGAGCCUUCAAUGGUUCCGGAUUUAGGCGGGCAGCCCCUCGUUAGGGAGGGAGAGCCGUCUGUGUCGAGGACUUCCGUUGCACCCGAGGGGCCGGAUUGUCUGCUGGAAGCACUUCGCGGCGCUUCCAUGGAUGAAGAGCACCAUACUCUUAUGAGUGCGGUGAUUCAGAAGGUUUCGUCCGCCUAGAGCGGACUAACUGAAGCUUGCACCAGCCUCCUGACAGGCUUUGAGGUAAGUAAUAAAAAUGUGUGAAAUUACCACCCGAUAGGUAGUAGCCCCUGAUACUCUGUUUGGUGUUCGGAAGGAAAAACCAAACGGAGGGUCAAUUAUAAUCCGCAGGAGUCUAAUAAUAAGUGUGAAUGUGAAUAAGCAGGCUGUGCUGCUUGCUGCUGCUGUCCGCACAGCUGAGAUAGCCGGACUAAAACGAGAUCUGGAGCAGGCUCAGGGAGAGGUCGACCUCACGAAGAGGCAACUCGAAGAGAGCAAAGGUGAGUGAUUCCCCGCUCUCACAUAAUGAAGAGUAUAUAAAAUUGGUUAUUCUAACAAUGAAACGUCGUGAUUUUGUAACAGGGGCCACCACCGAAGUGGCCUCUCUGAAGAAAGCGCUGUCCGAGGCCGACGACAAGGCGUCCUUGGAACGCACAAAGCGCGAGAAGCAAGAUGCCCGAGUGGGCGAGGUACAACAAGAGCUCCAGGAGCUCGGGAAAAAGUUCGAGUCCGUGGAGCAUGAGCUUAAGGCAAAAGAGGCCGAGCUUGCGAAGGCCCUUGCAAGUAUAAAAGACGCCAAGGCCGAAGCCGAGAAGGCACAGCAGGAAAUCCAGCAGGCCAAAAAGAUAGUGGCGGGUAAGAAAUUCUUUAUGCAAAGCAAACAUGUGGAGGAGGCGUUUCUUUUACUUACCCGAGUUCGGAGCUCUCCAGGGGCAUUCGCAGAUCUGCCACGCAGCGUAUCAGAUGCCGCGGAGUUCUACCGUGCCCAGGAGGGGAGCUCAACGGAGAAGCUGUUCUGGUCCCAGUAUGCUGGGGCCGAACAUUCAAUGCCUCUGAGUGACCAACUGAAGCAGUUGGUCGAACUCCACAGGGAGUCGAAGCGGCUAUGAAAGAUUUCAUAGUCCGGAUGUGCCUGGUGAGCCCCUGCCGGCUAGCUACUUCAACUUGAUCAAGCGGAUGGUGAAUCCUUGUCCGCGGCUCGAAGUCAUCAAGCGGUCCGUUUGCAUUGAGGGUGCCCGCCGGGCCUUUUCCCGCGCGAAGGUGCAUUUGGGCAAGCUGGAUGCGGAGAAGCUGGUGAAGGACGGGCCACCGGAGGGAAAGGCGCAUUGCUAUCCGGAGAAGUAUUAUGAUGGCCUUAUGAAGGGCGCUCGCCUCGUGGCUGAAGAAUGUACUAAGGACAUAAUUUUAGAAUGAAUUCACUUCUGUCAUGUUUAUAAUUUAAGGACGAAGUUACUUGUGCUAUGUAGCGCUUUUGUUAUUUAAAAUAUUACUUUUGUGCGACUGUUUAUAAAAUUCUGAAAGUAGGCUAGUUGUCGGCUUCCGCCCCCACGUAACUAGUACUGGGGUGUUCGUGGAAAACCCAGACACUCUUUAUCCAAAUAUUUGGUCCCUUAAGGAGGUGUCUAGCGCAGCGAACAAGGCAAUCGGACUAUGCGGCUUUAUAACUUUCACUUAGCCAUAGAAGUCUACAAUUUAAAUUUCAGUGAAGCCCCUAGAAUCCGGAAGGCCGAAUUGGGGCGCUAUAUACGCCUAGAUCGGACGAAACCGAUUUAUCGCCUAAAGCGGAAAAAUCUUUAAGGAUUUUAAGACCUCUCGAACAGCGACCAGCUCUCGCUACAUCAUGCCAGUUAGUUUUCGGCUUUAUCUACUAAGGUGCUUGUCUGGAAGAACCAGGACACAAUCGCAGUAGUUCUCCCUGCGCUACCUUAGCCAAUAUAACGGAACGUAAGGUACCAAAACAAGGGAGCCGGGCUAACCCAACUGUAGACCCAAGACAUGAUUCGGAGCUGAUGCAUAUAGUGCUAUAAGUUUGGGGUGCCACACUGUUGAAAGUGUUCGGACUUGUCUUGCCGUAUUAUGGGGCACCAUACGAAGCCCCUGGCAAACUGAACGUACCAAGGUGUACGGAUGCAAUAUCAAAUAAACGUUUGUAAGAAAAAAUGCUCAAAUAAGAAUAAUAAGCUGACGCUAUAUAUGAUCUCCCAUUGAUGAAUAAUACGUUUAAGUGUAUGUUUACAAUGAAUGCAUUAAGCGGAGAUAAAUAUGACUAUUUGACAUAUCCUAUCUAGGGGCAAGCCACUUACACAUAGAUAAAACAGGUAUAACAAUCAUAAAUAGUUUCCACCUGGGUAUUUCCUUCUGUGCGCAAAGCCUGUUGCCUCCUUAGUUUUCUCUCCUAUGUAAGUCCGACAAUCCGGCUCUUUUGAAGAGGCUGCACUAAAGCAAUGUCCUGAAAGGUCAAAGGAAAGGUUAUGAAGGUAUGUUGCGGUGAUACUGCACUGUUGACUGAGCCACUGCUGCGCCUCCGCCUGUGCCCAUGGUAUUUUGAGUGCGUAAUUGUGUACGCGUGGCACGAAUGCUGCUUUAAUGGGAUUUGAGCGGAGGCCGGACUGGUAGUCGCGCUCUUGGCGUGCCUGGUGAUCCUAUUGCGGGGUGCUCCGGACUCGCUUGACGGUGCUUGAGGUUGUCGUUGCCGGAUUGGUGGUUUGCCGGAGGAGGCUGCAUUAUACUUCUACCGCGAGGGCUGCAGUAUGCUCUUCUGUACGGAGAGAGCGGUCCAUGUUUCCGUUGACUGUUAUGACCCCGCGUGGGCCUGGCAUCUUGAGCUUAAUGUAUGCAUAGUGUGGUACCGCAUUGAAUCUAGCGAAUGCGGUUCGUCCGAGCAGUGCGUGGUAACCACUACGGAAAGGGACGAUAUCGAAGAUUAACUCUUCGCUUCGGAAGUUGUCCGGAGAUCCGAAGACCACUUCCAAUGUUGUGGAGCCUAUACAACGGGCCUCUACUCCAGGAAUUACACCUUUAAAGGUGGUUUUGGUGGGCUUGAUCCUUGAAGGGUCGAUGCCCAUUUUAUGCACUGUGUCCUGGUAAAGCAGGUUCAGGCUGCUGCCGCUGUCCAUAAGGUCUCGCGUGAGGUGGAAUCCGUCAAUGAUUGGGUCUAAGACUAAUGCGGCUGAGCCGCCGUGAUGGAUGCUAGUAGGAUGAUCCCUACGAUCAAAGGUGAUCGGACAAGCUGACCAUGGGUUGAAUUUGGGGACGACUGGCUCCAUCGCGUAGACGUCCCGCAGUGCUCGCUUCCGUUCCUGCUUGGGUAUGUGAGUGGCAUUGAUCAUGUUGACCGUUUUCACCUGGGGGGGAAAUUUCUUCUGUCCCCCCCCCCUCCCCCGUGUUCGGACGCCGGGACUCCUCGUCAUCAUCGCUGUGCAGCCCCUUGUCCUUAUUUUCGGUGUUUAUUUUGCCGGCCUAUUUAAAUACCCAGCAGUCUCUGUUGGUGUGGUUGGCUGGCUUGUCCGGGGUGCCAUAAAUUUGGCACGAGCGCUCUAGUAUACGGUCCAGACUGGACGGUCCCUGAUUGUUUCUUUUGAACGGCUUCUUCCGCUGACCGGACUUGGAUCCGCUCAAUCCGGCGUUUACUGCCGUGUCUUCAGUGUUGUCGCUGUUGUUCCGUCGCUUAUGUCUGUUGCGUCGUGGCUUGCCGUUAUUGCUGCGGACAUCCAAAGUGUCGGAAUGUGGCGUGGUGCUGCUGCGAGCCAACUAGCUAUCCUCGCCCGCGCAAAAGCGGGCCAUUAGUGUUGUGAGGGCUGCCAUGGACUUGGGUUUUUCCGGGCCGAGGUGUCGAGCGAGCCACUCGUCACGGAUAUUAUGCUUAAAAGCCGCCAGGGCUUCGGCGUCCGAACAGUCAACUAUUUGGUUCUUUUUAGUUAGGAACCGGAUCCAGAACUUCCUGGCUGACUCUCCAGGCUGUUGAGUAAUGUGGCUCAAAUCAUCUGCGUCCGGUGGUCGCACAUAUGUGCCCUGGAAGUUGUCGAGGAAUGUGUCUUCCAGGUAUUCCCAACUGCCAAUGGAAUUUGCUGGCAGGCUAUUUAGCCAGUGCCGGGCUGGUCCUUUGAGCUUAAGGGGAAGAUACUUGAUGGCGUGUAGAUCAUCUCCGCGGGCCAUGUGAAUGUGGAGAAGGAAAUCUUCAAUCCAUACUGCGGGGUCUGUUGUGCCAUCGUAUGAUUUGAUGUUUACGGGUUUGAACCCUUCUGGGAAUUUAUGAUCCAUCACUUCGUCAGUGAAGCAGAGGGGGUGUAUUGCGCUUCUGUGCCGGGCUAUGUGGCUACACAGUUCGAAUUGGUCUGGGUUGCUGUAUUUGGCCCGGCUGGACUUGUUAAUAAUGUGUCCGGCAUGACGGUCAUCAUCGCGCGCUGGUGCGCGCCCCCGCGAUCCGUAGAUCAAUCUUGGCUGUCCUGCUUUGUUUUCCAGUAUGUCUUGCAGGUCUUGCCUAUUGCCCCGGGCCGUAGUGUAUUGGCGUGGGGGUGCGGGCUGGUAUUCGAGCUGAUAUCGCGUUUUAUCCCGGCCACGGGGUGGCCGGUCAGCCAUUUGGCGCUCGAGUCCGUAUUCCUCGGCUGCCAGGACUUCAGUCCAUCUAUUUGUGAGAAGGUCUUGAUCAGCCUGGAGUUGCUGUUGCUUCUUCUUCAGGCUCCUCGUGGUGGCAAGAAGCCGGCGCUUGAAGCACUCCUGCUCCACGGGAUCCUCGGGUAUGCCGAACUCGUCAUCGCCGAGGCUAAUCUCGUCUUCGAAGGGGGGCAUAUAAUUGUCCUCCUCCGGAUACCCGUUGGUUACCCGUUCGUCUGGGCUGACCUGCUCAUCUUCCUGUUCGGCCUGCUCGAAGAUGGGCUGGUCAGGGUUGUAUUCCUCUUUGGCACCAUCCGGAUUGCUUUCAUCUCCGGGGCCGGUAUUGCUGUGGCGGGGCUUGGAGCGGCGCCGACGACGCCCAUGCUUUGCUUUUCUCCCUGAGGGGUUAUCCUCCGUUGCCUCGUCGCCAUUGGUUUCCUUCGGAGUGUCCACCAUACAUAUAUCGUAUGAAGAGUUGGCUGUCCACCGCCCUGUGAGCGGUGGCUCCUGUACUUCUCCUGCAUCAUCGUCCAUACCGUUGAUGUCUUCGGAGUCGAAGUCAAGCACGUCGGUUAAAUCAUUGACUAUGGCAAUGAAGUGGGUGGUGGGUGGGCAGCGAAUUCCUUCGUCGCCUUCUUCCCACUCAAGCCGGACAUAGUUCGGCUCCGAGCCUCCUGCCAAAGAGAGAGACUUUAAUGAGUUCAGCAUGUCGCCAAAGGGCGAGUGUUGGAAGAUAUCUGUAGCGGGAAACUCCUUUACCGGAGCCCAACCUGUCUCGACUGGCUCGAGGGUGUGCGGACCGGAACCAACAGCCGGAUACGAGUCCGGGGGUCCGGAGUUACAGGCUUCCUUAGAAGUGAGGCCUGUGUUCGGCUCUAUCACCGAUGAGUGUGCAGCCUGUAGGGCGGGGCCCAUCCCUCCGUCCUUAGGUGACGCAGCCUGCUCCGGAUUUAGGUUCGGGGCUAUUGCAGCGGUGAUAUUCCGAACAUUGUCUGACAGCAGGUCUAGGCCGUGCUCAUCGCGACUGUCCGGUGUUCCUGGCACAGGCCCGAAUCCGUCAAAGAUCAAGUCUCCACGAAUAUCCGCCAUGUAGUUCAAGUUUUCGAACCUGACCUGGUGGCCAGGAGCAUAGCUAUCGAUCUGCUCCAGAUGACCAAGCGAAUUGGCCUGCAGUGCAAAGCCGCCGAACACGAAGAUCUAUCCGGGGAGAAAAGUCUCCCCCUGGACCGUGUUGCUGACAAUUGAAGGUGCCAUCAAGCCUUGCAGCAACGACAUAGAGGAACUCUCAAUGAAAGCACCAAUGUCGGUGUCAAAACCGGUGGAUCUCGGGUAGGGGGUCCCAAUCUAUGCGUCUUAGGCUGAUGGUAACAGGAAGCAAGGGACACAAUGUUUACCCAGGUUCGGGCCCUCUCGAUGGUAAAACCCUACUUCCUGCUUGAUUAAUAUUGAAGAUAUGAGUAGUACAAGAGUAGAUAUACCACGAGAUCGUAGAGGCUAAACCCUAGGAUCUAGCCUAUGAUGGUAUGAUUGUAGUUGUGAUCGGCCUUCUAAGGACCAACCUCUCCGGUUUAUAUAGACACCGGAGAGGGCUAGGGUUUACAUGGAGUCGGUUACAAGGAAGGAAAUACAAUAUCCGGAUCGCCAAGCUUGUCUUCCAUGCAAAGGAGAGUCCCAUCCGGACACGGGCCGGAGUCUUGAGUCUUGUAUCUUCACGCUCCAAUAGUUUGGACGAUGUAUAUAGUCCGGCUGUCCGGAUACCCCCUAAUCUAGGACUCCCUCACCCAUGGCCUCGCGCUGUUUAACUUGUUCGCUACCACUGGGCUAGAGAGGGAUUGCUGUCCAUCUAGCGGAAUGAAUUUGUAUAUUAUAAAACAAUGGUUGUGUCUUGCCAAAUCUAAGUCAUUGACAAGUGGGACCUAUUCCCAUGAUCGGACAGAGCCAACACUUAGCCAAAAAUUUCUAGGUCUUCCGACCAGGUGGCAGCGGGCCGCGGGCAGGGGCGUGGCCGUCGGACGAGGGCGGGGCCGAUGGUCGAAGCGACUAGUAGGGGCGGGGGUGACCUACGGUGGUGGGGGCGGGGGCAGGAACGACAACCUCACCGCAGGUGACCUCGCCCAUGGCGGGCGGGGCCAGCAGCGGAAGAAACCGGUGGGGCGGAGGCGGGGCUGGCUGCCGAAGCGACCAACAGGGGCGUGGGUGACCCGCGGUGGUGGGGGCGGGCGCCAGAAUGGCCCACACGCAAGGAGAGGCUUGCCGAGCAUGGAGGAAUCGCCGCCACCGCAAGCACACCUCCAGGUAUGCACCUCUCUCCUUUCCCCCCCUCUCCUCUCUCACUAUCUGCACCUAGUCGCCGAGCAUAGAUGAAUUUCAGUCAGAUGUUCUUCAGCAUAGAUGAAUUUUGUUGAUGCACUGUUAGGAGUUAGGACAUAGCUUGCUUGUUUGGUAGAUAUUGCAUAGAUGAAUUUUCUUGAUGUACUGUUAGGAGUUCUUGAUACGUCUCCAACGUAUCUAUAAUUUUUGAUUGCUCCAUGCUAGUUUAUCUACUGUUUUGGACUAUAUUGGGCUUUAUUUUUCACUUUUAUAUUAUUUUUGGGACUAACCUAUUAACCGGAGGCCCAGCCCAGAAUUGCUGUUUUUUGCCUUUUUCAGUAUUUCGAAGAAACAGAAUAUCAAACGGAGUCCAAACGGAAUGAAACCUUCGGGAACGUGAUUUUUUCAUCAGAUAAGAUCCAGGAGACUUGGACCCUCUGUGAAGAAAGCCACGAGGCAGUCACGAGGGUGGAGGGCGCGCCCCUCCGCCCUGGGCGCGCCCCCCUACCUCGUGGGCCCCUUGAAGCUCCACCGACGUACUCCUUCCUCCUAUAUAUACCUACGUACCCCCAAACGAUCAAAGGAGGAGCAAAAAACCUAAUUCCACCGCCGCAACCUUUUGUAUCCACGAGAUCCCAUCUUGGGGCCUGUUCCGGAGCUCCGCCGGAGGGGGCAUCCACCACAGAGGGCUUCUACAUCAUCACCAUGGCCCCUCCGAUGAAGUGUGAGUAGUUUACUUCAGACCUUCGGGUCCAUAGCUAGUAGCUAGAUGGCUUCUUCUCUCUUUUUGGAUCUCAAUACAAUGUUCUCCCCCUCUCUUGUGGAGAUCUAUUCGAUGUAAUCUUAUUUUUGCGGUGUGUUUGUUGAGACCGAUGAAUUGUGGGUUUAUGAUCCAGUAUUAUCUAUGGAAAAUAUUUGAUUCUUCUCUGAAUUCUUUUAUGUAUGAUUGAGUUAUCUUUGCAAGUCUCUUCGAAUUAUCCAUUUGGUUUGGCCAACUAGAUUGGUAGUUCUUGCAAUGGGAGAAGUGCAUGGCUUUGGGUUCAAUCUUGCGGUGUCCUUACUCAGUGACAGAAAGAGUUGCAAGGCACGUAUUGUAUUGUUUCCAUCGAGGAUAACAAGAUGGGGGUUUUAUCAUAUUGCAUGAAUUUAUCCCUCUACAUCAUGUCAUCUUGCUUAAGGCGUUACUCUGUUUUUACUUAAUACUCUAGAUGCAUGCUGGAUAGCGGUCGAUGAGUGGAGUAAUAGUAGUAGAUGCAGAAUCGUUUCAAUCUACUUGUCUUGGACGUGAUGCCUAUAUACAUGAUCAUCGCCUAGAUAUACUCAUAACUAAGCUCAAUUCUGUCAAUUGCUCAACAGUAAUUUGUUCACGCACUGUAGAAUACUUAUGCUCUUGAGAGAAGCCACUAGUGAAACCUAUGCCCCCCGGGUCUAUUCUCAUCAUAUCAAUCUAAAUCACUUUAUUUACUUGCUUUGUUUUUACUUUACCUUUAGUUUUUACUAUGCAUCUAUCUAUCAAAAAUACCAAAAAUAUUAUCUCUAUCAGAUCUCACUCUCGUAAGUGACCGUGAAGGGAUUGACAACCCCUAAGCGUUGGUUGCGAGUUGCUAUCGUGUUGUGCAGGUACGAGGGACUUGCGCGUGACCUCCUACUGGAUUGAUACCUUGGUUCUCAAAAACUGAGGGAAAUACUUACGCUACUGUGGUGCAUCAUCCUCUCCUCUUUGGGGAAAACCAAUGCAAGCUCGAGACAUCGCAAGAAGAAUUUCUGGCGCCGUUGCCGGGGAGGCUUACGCAAAAGUCAACAUACCAAGUACCCAUCACAAUCCCUAUCUCUCGCAUUACAUUAUUUGCCAUUUGCCUCUCGUUUUCCUCUCCCCCACUUCACCCUUGCCGUUUUAUUUGGCCUCUCUUUCCCAAUCUCCUCCUCUCUUUCCGUUUGCCUUUUCCCUUUGCCUUUUGUUUGCUCGUGUGUUGGAUUAGAUGCUUAUUUAUUCCUAAACAAAGAAGCCAAUAUCUAUGGAUCCUGAUCCGCUUGCCAAUCUUUUUAAGAGAUCCAAUUAUGAUGAACCAAUUCCUAGUGAUUUGGAUGCACUAGAUUAUCUUUAUAAGGUUUUGCCUAAAAUCCGUGAAGUGACUCACGAUAGAUCUUUGAAUAAAAAGCAUGAUUGCAAUGAUUUUAUUAUAAAUUCUUUUGAUGUCAAUUGUGCUAAUAAGAUGCAAAACCCUAAGCUUGGGGAUGCUAGUUUUGCUAUGUCUACUACUUGUUGCAAUGAUCAUGAUUGGGGUGAUUCUUCUUAUGAUCUUGAAAAUUUAUUUAAGCCCCAUGAUGAAUAUGAGAUUGAUAAUAGUGUUUGCAAUAAUAUUGAAAGUGUGUUUGGAAGAGUGUCAACUUUAGAUCCCACAUAUUUGGAGUAUGUUCAAUCUUAUGAUAUUUUUGAUAAAAGUGGGUUCGAAAAGGUCAUGACUUUAAUUAAUGUUAAUCCCACUAUUUUGGAAGAGUGUCAACUUUGCAUGCAUGGGGAUCGUGUUGAGAAUAUACUUUGUGGUAGCUAUUUUGUUGAAUUUUCUUAUGAUCCCGCAUGUAAUUAUUAUGAGAGAGGAAAAUAUGGUUAUAGAAAUUUUCAUGUUACUAAAUUACCUCUCGUUAUGUUGAGAUUGCUAUUGUUCCUUUCCGCUUCCUUGCAUAUGCUAGUUUUUGCUUGCCUUUAUAAUUUGUUUGCCUAUAAGAUGCCUAUGCAUAGGAAGUAUGUUAGACUUAAGUGUGUUUGUCACAUGUUUUAUGAUGCUCUCUUUGUGCCUCAAUUCUUGUCUUUCUUGUGAGCAUCAUUGAAAUCUCAAUGCCUAGCUAAAAAGGUUUUAAAGAAAAGCGCUUGUUGGGAGGCAACCCAAUAUUUAUCCUUGCUGGUUAGCAAUAAAUAAUCCAUCUACCUUCUGUUUGGAUGUGGUUUUAUGUUUUAAUUAGUGUUUGUGCCAAGUAGAACCUACAGGAUAAGCUAUGAUGAUAGUUGAUUUGAUUCUGCUGAAAAACAGAAACUUUGCGCUCACGAGAAAAACAUCAAUAAAUCACAGGAACGUGAUUUUGCAUUGAUUCUUUUUGCUGCUGAUCAACAAAAAAAUUGUCCAGUACUUCCUAUUUUGGUUGGAAUUUUUAGAGUUCCAGAAGUUUGCGUUAGUUACAGAUUACUACAGACUGUUCUGUUUUUGACAGAUUCUGUUUUUUCGUGUGUUGUUUGCUUAUUUUGAUGAAUCUAUGGCUAGUAAAUUAGUUUAUAAACCAUAGAGAAGUUGGAAUACAGUAGGUUUAACACCAAUAUAAAUAAAGAAUGAGUUCAUUACAGUACCUUGAAAUAGUCUUUUGUUUUCUUUCUCUAACGGAGUUCACGAGAUUUCUGUUGAGUUUUGUGUUGUGAAGUUUUCAAGUUUUGGGUGAAUUCUUUUGAUGGAUUAUGGAACAAGGAGUGGCAAGAGCCUAAGAUAAUCCAAGGACACCAAAAAGUCAAAGCUUGGGGAUGCCCCAGAAGGCAUCCCCUCUUUCGUCCACUUCCAUCGGUAAUUUACUUGGAGCUAUAUUUUUAUUCACCAAUAUGAUAUGUGUUUUGCUUGGAGCGUCUUGUAUUAUUUGUGUCUUUGCUUGUUAGUCUACCACAAUCAUCCUUGCUGUACACACCUUUUGAGAGAGCCAUUAAUGAAUUGAAAUUUGUUAGAAUACUCUAUGUGCUUCACUUAUAUCUUUUGAGCUUGAUAGUUUUGCUCAUAUUGCUUCACUUAUAUUCUUUUGAGCGUGAUAAUUUUUGCUCUAGUGCUUCAGUUAGAUCUUUUUGAGCACGGUGGUGGAUUUGUUUUAAAGAAACUUGAUCUCUCAUGCUUCACUUAGAUUAUUUUGAGAGUCAUUAAUAGCAUGGUAAUUUGCUUAAUGUUAAUAUACUUGGUAUUCAAGAUGUGUGAAACUUUUCUUUUUGAGUGCGUUGAAUACUAAGAUAAGUUUGAUGCUUGAUAAUUGUUUUGAGAUAUGGAGGUGAUAAUAUCAAAGUCAUGCUAGUUGGGUGAUUAUGAAUUCAAAGAAUGCUUGUGUUGAAGUUAGCAAAUCCCGUAGCAUGCACGUAUGGUUAAAGUUAUGUAACAAAUUUGAAACAUGAAGUGUACCUGGCUUGUGCAUCCUUAUGAGUGGCGGUCGGGGACGAGGGAUGGUCUUUUCGUACCAAUCUAUCCCCCUAGGAGCAUGUGCAUAGUAUUUGAAUUUUUGAUGACUUCUAAAUUUUUGCAAUAAGUAUAUGAGUUCUUUUGACUAAUGUUGAGUCCAUGGAUUAUGCGCACUCUCACCUUUCCGCCUUUGCUAGCCUCUUCGGUACCGUGCAUUGCCCUUUCUCACCUUGAGAGUUGGUGCAAACUUCGCCGGUGCAUCCAAACCCCAUGAUACGAUACGCUCUAUCACACAUAAACCUCCUUAUAUCUUCCUCAAAACAGCUACCAUACCUACCUAUCAUGGCAUUUCCAUAGCCAUUCCGAGAUAUAUUGCCAUGCAACUUCCACCAUCAUCAUCGUGACAUGCAUUACUUUUGUCAUAUUGCCAUUGCAUGAUCUUGUAGUUGACAUCGUAUUUGUGGCAAAUCCACCAUGCAUUAUUUUCCAUACAUGUCACUCUUGAUUCAUCGCACCAUCCCGGUACACCGCCGGAGGCAUACAUAUAGAGUCAUAUCUUGUUCUAGUUUCGAGUUGUAAUUCAUAUGUUGUAAUGAAAGUGUGAUGAUCAUCAUUAUUAGAGCAUUGCCCAAAUAAAAAAAAGAAAGGCAACAAAAAAGGAAAGGCCCCAAAAAAAGAAAGGCCCAAAAAAGGGGGCAAUGCUACUAUCUCUUUUUCCACACUUGUGCUUCACAGUAGCACCUUGUUCUUCAUGUAGUGAGUCUCAUAUAUUGUGCUCCAAAGUAGCACCUUGUUCUUCAUGUAGUGAGUCUCAUAAGUUGUCUUUUUAUACUAGUGGGAAUUUUUCAUUAUAGAACUUGGCUUGUAUAUUCCUACGAUGGGCUUCCUCAAAUGCCCUAGGUCUUCGUGAGCAAGCAAGUUGGAUGCACACCCACUAGUUUUCUUUUGUUGAGCAUUCAUAGCUCUAGUGCAUCCGUUGCAUGGCAAUCCCUACUCGCUCACAUCGACAUCUAUUGAUGGGCAUCUCCAUAGCCCAUUGAUACACCUAGUUGAUAUGAGACCUUCUCCUUUUUUGUCUUCUCCACACAAUCCCCAUCAUCAUAUUCUAUUCCACCCAUAGUGCUAUAUCCAUGGCUCACGCUCAUGUAUUGCGUGAAGGUUGAAAAAGUUUGAGAUUAUUUAAGUAUGAAACAAUUGCUUGGCUUGUCAUCAGGGUUAUAGAAGUUGGGAACAUCUUUGUGUGACGAAAAUGAAGCAUGGCCUAACUAUAUGAUUUUGUAGGGAUGAACUUUAUUUUGCCAUGUUAUUUUGAGAAGACAUGAUUACUUUGAUUAGUAUGCUUGAAGUAUUAUUAUUUCUUUGUCAAUAUGAACUUUUGUCUUGAAUAUUUCGGAUCUAAAUAUUCAUAUCACAAUUAAGAAGUUUUACAUUGAAAUUAUGCCAAACUAUCACUCCGCAUCAAAAAUUCUUUUUUUUAUCAUUUAUCUACUCGAGGACGAGCAUGAAUUAAGCUUGGGGAUGCUUGAUACGUCUCCAACGUAUCUAUAAUUUUUGAUUGCUCCAUGCUACUUUAUCUACUGUUUUGGACUAUAUUAGGCUUUAUUUUCACUUUUAUAUUAUUUUUGGGACUAACCUAUUAACCGGAGGCCCAGCCCAGAAUUGUUGUUUUUUGCCUUUCUCAGUAUUUCGAAGAAACAGAAUAUCAAAUGGAGUCCAAACGGAAUGAAACCUUCGGGAACGUGAUUCUCUUAUCAGAUAAGAUCCAGGAGACUUGGAACCUCCGUCAAGAAAGCCACGAGGCGGUCACGAGGGUGGAGGGCGCGCCCCUCCCCCUGGGCGCGCCCCCUACCUCGUGGGCCCGUCGAAGCUCCACCGACGUACUCCUUCCUCCUAUAUAUACCUAUGUACCCCCAAACGACCAGAGGAGGAGCAAAAAACCUAAUUCCACCGCCGCAACCUUCUGUAUCCACGAGAUCCCAUCUUGGGGCCUGUUCCGGAGCUCCACCGGAGGGGGCAUCCACCACGGAGGGCUUCUACAUCAUCACCAUGGCCCCUCCGAUGAAGUGUGAGUAGUUUACUUCAGACCUUCGGGUCCAUAGCUAGUAGCUAGAUGGCUUCUUCUCUCUUCUUGGAUCUCAAUACAAUGUUCUCCCCCUAUCUUGUGGCGAUCUAUUUGAUGUAAUCUUCUUUUUGCGGUGUGUUUGUUGAGACCAAUGAAUUGUGGGUUUAUGAUCCAGUAUUAUCUAUGGAAAAUAUUUGAUUCUUCUCUGAAUUCUUUUAUGUAUGAUUGAGUUAUCUUUGCAAGUCUCUUCAAAUUAUCCGUUUGGCUUGGCGAACUAGAUUGGUAGUUCUUGCAAUGGGAGAAGUGCAUGGUUUUGGGUUCAAUCUUGCGGUGUCCUUACUCAGUGACAGAAAGAGUUGCAAGGCACGUAUUGUAUUGUUGCCAUCGAGGAUAACAAGAUGUUUUUUUUAUCAUAUUGCAUGAAUUUAUCCCUCUACAUCAUGUCAUCUUGCUUAAGGCAUUACUUUGUUUUUACUUAAUACUCUCGAUGCAUGCUGGAUAGUGGUCGAUGAGUGGAGUAAUAGUAGUAGAUGCAGAAUCAUUUUGAUCUACUUGUCUCGGACGUGAUGCCUAUAUACAUGAUCAUCGCCUAGGUAUACUCAUAACUAUGCUUAAUUCUGUCAAUUUCUCAUUAGUAAUUUGUUCACCCACUUUAGAAUACUUAUGCUCUUGACAGAAGCCACUAGUGAAACCUAUGGCCCCCGGGUCUAUUCUCAUCAUAUCAAUCUAUAUCACUUUAUUUACUUGCUUUGUUUUUACUUUACCUUUACUUCUUACUAUGCAUCUAUCUAUCAAAAAUACCAAAACUAUUAUCUCUAUCAGAUCUCACUCUCGUAAGUGACCGUGAAGGGAUUGACAACCCCUAAGCGUUGGUUGCGAGUUGCUAUCGUGUUGUGCAGGUACGAGGGACUUGCACGUGACCUCCUACUGGAUUGAUACCUUGGUUCUCAAAAACUGAGGGAAAUACUUAUGCUAGUGUGCUGCAUCAUCCUCUCCUCUUCGGGGAAAACCAACGCAAGCUCGAGACGUAGCAGUUCUUCAGCUUGUUUGUUAAGAAUUCUUCAGGCCUUGUUCGGUUAAGAAUUCUUCAGCUGGAUUGGAGUGGAAUGGAGGGGAUUUGGUGGGGAAUUUGAGCUAGAUGGGUUUUAAUCCCUGCCAAUACCUGUUAACCCCUCUCAUUUAUCAUGGAACCGAAUGAUACGUCUCCACCGUAUCUAUAAUUUUUGAUUACUCCAUGCUACUUUAUCUAUUGUGUUGGACUAUAUUGGGCUUUAUUUUCCACUUUUAUAUUAUUUUUGGGACUAACCUAUUAACCGGAAGCCCAGCCCAUAAUUGUUGUUUUUUGCCUUUUUUAGUAUUUCAAAGAAACGGAAUAUCAAACGGAAUGAAACCUUCGGGAACGUGAUUUUCUCACCGAACGUGAUCCAGGAGACUUGGACCCUACUCCAAGAAGCGCCAGAGGCGGUCACGAGGGUGGAGGGCGCGCCCCCCCUGGGCGCGCCCCCUACCACGUGGGCCCCUCGGAGCUCCACCGACGUACUCCUUCCUCCUAUAUAUACCUACGUAUCCCCAAACGAUCAGAACAGGAGCCAAAAACCUAAUUCCACUGCCGCAACCUUCUGUAUCCACGAGAUCCCAUCUUGGGGCCUGUUUCGGAGCUCCGCCGGAGGGGGCAUCUACCACGGAGGGCUUCUACAUCAUCACCAUAGCCCCUCCGAUGAAGUGUGAGUAGUUUACUUCAGACCUUCGGGUCCAUAGCUAGUAGCUAGAUGGCUUCUUCUCUCUUUUUGGAUCUCAAUACAAUGUUCUCCCCCUCUCUCGUGGAGAUCUAUUCGAUAUAAUCUUCUUUUUGCGGUGUGUUUGUUGAUGAAUUGUGGGUUUAUGAUCCAACUUAUCCAUGAAUAAUAUUUGAAUCUUUUCUGAAUUCUUUUAUGUAUGAUUGAGUUAUCUUUGCAAGUCUCUUCGAAUUAUCCUUUUGGUUUGGCCAACUAGAUUGGUAGUUCUUGCAAUGGGAGAAGUGCAUGGCUUUGGGUUCAAUCUUGCGGUGUCCUUACUCAGUGGCAGAAGGAGUUGCAAGGCACGUAUUGUAUUGUUGCCAUUGAGGAUAACAAGAUGGGGUAUUUAUCAUAUUGCAUGAAUUUAUUCAUCUACAUCAUGUCAUCUUGCUUAAGGCGUUACUCUGUUUUUAACUUAAUACUCUAGAUGCAUGCUGGAUAGCGGUCGAUGACUGGAGUAAUAGUAGUAGAUGCAGAAUCGUUUCGAUCUACUUGUCUCGGACGUGAUGCCUAUAUACAUGAUCAUACCUAGAUAACCUCAUAACUAUGCUCAAUUUUGUCAAUUGCUCAAUAGUAACUUGUUCACCCAUCGUAGAAUACAUAUGCUCUUGAGAGAAGCCACUAGUGAAACCUAUGGCCCCUGGGUCUAUUAUCAUCAUAUCAAUCUCCAUCACUUUAUUUACUUGCUUUUCUUUUACUUUUACUUUGUAUCUUUAUACCAAAAAUACCAAAAAUAUUAUCUCUAUCAGAUCUCACUCUCGUAAGUGACCGUGAAGGGAUUGACAACCCCUAAUCGCUUUGGUUGCGAGUAGCUAUUGUUUUGUGCAGGUACGAGGGACUUGCGCGUGACCUCCUACUGGAUUGAUACCUUGGUUCUCAAAAACUGAGGGAAAUACUUAUGCUACUGUGCUGCAUCAUCCUCUCCUCUUCGGGGAAAACCAACACAAGCUCGAGACGUAGCAAGACGGAUUUCUGGCGCCGUUGCCGGGGAGGCUUACGCAAAAGUCAACAUACCAAGUACCCAUCACAAUCCCUAUCUCUCGCAUUACAUUAUUUGCCAUUUGCCUCUCGUUUUCCUCUCCCCCACUUCACCCUUGCCGUUUUAUUCACCCUCUCUUUCCCAAUCUCCUCCUCUCUUUCCAUUGCCUUUUCCUCGUCCUUUUGUUUGCUUGUGUGUUAGUUUGCUUGCUUGUCGUGAUGGCUCAAGACGCUACCAAAUUGUGUGAUUUCACCAAUACCAAUAAUAAUGAUUUCCUUAGCACUCCGAUUGCUCCUCUUGCCAAUACUGAAUCUUGUGAAAUCAAUACUGCUUUGUUGAAUCUUGUUAUAAAAGAUCAAUUCGUCGGCCUUCCUAGUGAAGAUGCCGCUACUCAUCUGAAUAGCUUCGUUGAUUUAUGUGAUAUGCAAAAGAAAAAAGAUGUCGAUAAUGAUGUCGUUAAAUUGAAGCUAUUUCCUUUUUCGCUUAGAGAUCGUGCUAAAGCGUGGUUUUCAUCUUUGCCUAAAAAUAGUAUUGAUUCUUGGAACAAGUGCAAAGAUGCUUUUAUCUCUAAGUAUUUUCCUCCCGCUAAGAUUAUCUCCCUUAGGAACGAUAUUAUGAAUUUCAAGCAACUUGAUCAUGAACAUGUUGCACAAGCUUGGGAGAGAAUGAAAUUAAUGCUACGUAAUUGUCCUACUCAUGGUUUGAACUUGUGGAUGAUUAUACAAAAUUUUUAUGCUGGAUUGAAUUUUGCUUCUAGAAAUCUUUUAGAUUCGGCCGCGGGAGGCACUUUUAUGGAAAUCACUUUAGGAGAUGCUACUAAACUCCUAGAUAAUAUUAUGGUUAAUUAUUCUCAAUGGCAUACUGAAAGAUCUACUAAUAAAAAGGUGCAUGCUAUAGAAGAAAUCAAUGUUUUGAGUGAAAAUAUGGAUGAACUUAGGAAUUUAUUUGCUAAGAGUGUUUCUUCUGAUCCCAAUAAUAUACCUUUAUCUACUUUGCUUGAGAAUAAUAAUGAAUCUAUGGAUGUGAAUUAUAUUGGUAGGAAUAGUUUUGGUAACAACACGUAUAGAGGGAAUUUUAACUCUAGGCCUUAUCCUAGUAAUCCUUCUAAUAAUUAUGGAAAUUCCUACAACAACUCUUAUGGAAAUUUUAAUAAGAUGCCCUCUGAAUUUGAGAGUAGUGUUAAAGAGUUUAUGAAUUCACAAAAGAAUUUUAAUGCUUUGCUUGAAGAGAAAUUGCUUAAAGUUGAUGAUUUGGCUAGGAACGUUGAUAGAAUUUCUCUUGAGAUUGAUUCUUUAAAGCUUAGAUCUAUUCCUCCUAAGCAUGAUAUCAAUGAGUCUCUCAAAGCCAUGAGAAUUUCCAUUGAUGAGUGCAAGGGAAGAACCACUAGGAUGCGUGCUUCCAAAGAUGCCUUUAUUAAAGCGUGUUCUUCUAAUUCUUAUGGAAAUCAAGAUGAAGAUCUAAAAGUUAUUGAUGUGUCCCCUAUCAAAUCUUUGUUUUGCAAUAUGAAUCUUGAUGAAUCUGAAGAUUAUCUUCCUUUACCUAGAAGGCGUUAUAAGAAUUCGGAGUUUCUAGAUCUUGAUGAUGAAAUUGAUGAAAGUGGGAUUGAAAUAAAUAAAAACCAUGAUGUUGCUAAACCCACUAUUUUGGAUCUCAAGGAAUUUAAUUAUGAAAAUUGCUCUUUGAUUGGUUGUAUUUCCUUGUUGCAAUCCAUGCUAGAAUCUCCUCAUGCUUAUAGUCAAAAUAAGGCCUUUACCGAACACAUUGUUGAUGCCUUGAUGCAAUCUUAUGAAGAAAAGCUUGAGUUGAUAAUUUCUAUCCCUAGAAAACUCUAUGAUGAGUGGGAACCUACUAUCAAAAUUAAAAUUAAAAAUUAUGAGUUCCAUCCUUUGUGUGAUUUGGGUGCUAGUGUCUCUACUAUUCCCAAAACUUUGUGCGAUUUGCUAGAUUUCCGUGACUUUGAUGAUUGCUCUCUCAACUUGCAUCUUGCGGAUUCCACUAUUAAAAAACCUAUGGGAAGAAUUAAUGAUGUUCUUAUUGUUGCAAAUAGGAAUUAUGUGCCCGUAGAUUUUAUCGUUCUUGAUAUAGAUUGCAAUCCUUCAUGUCCUAUUAUUCUUGGUAGACCUUUCCUUAGAACGAUUGGUGCAAUUAUUGAUAUGAAGGACGGGAAUAUUAGAUUCAAAUUUCCCUUAAAGAAGGGCAUGGAACACUUCCCUAGAAAGAAAAUAAAAUUACUAUAUGAAUCUAUCAUGAGAACCACUUAUGGAUUGCCUACCAAAGAUGGCAACACCUAGAUCUAUCCUUGCUUUUAUGCCUAGCUAGGGGCGUUAAACGAUAGCGCUUGUCGGGAGGCAACCCAAUUUUAUUUUGUGUUUUUUGUUUAGCUUCUGUUUAGUAAUAAAUAAUCCAUCUACCUUCUGUUUGGAUGUGGUUUUAUGUUUUAAUUAGUGUUUGUGCCAAGUAGGACCUAUAGGAUAACCUACAAUGAUAGUUGAUUUGAUUCUGCUGAAAAACAGAAACUUUGCACGCACGAAUAUAAUUAUGAUAAAUUACAGGAACGUGCUUUUGCGUUGAUUCUUUUUGCUUCUGAUCAAUAAACAAAUUUUCCAGAACUUCCUAUUUUGGUAGAAUUUUUAGAGUUCCAGAAGUUUGCGUUAGUUACAGAUUGCUACAGACUGUUCUGUUUUUCACAGAUUCUGUUUUUCAUGUGUUGUUUGCUUGUUUUGAUGAAUCUCUGGCUAGUAAAUUAGCUUAUAAACCAUAGAGAAGUUGUAAUACAGUAGGUUUAACACCAUUAUAAAUAAAGAAUGAGUUCAUUACAGUACGUUGAAGUAGUCUUUUGUUUUCUUUCUCUAACGGAGCUCACGAGAUUUCUGUUGAGUUUUGUGUUGUGAAGUUUUCAAGUUUUAGGUGAAUUCUUUUGAUGGAUUAUGGAACAAGGAGUGGCAAGAGCCUAAGAUAAUCCAAGGACACCAAAAAGUCAAAGCUUGGGGAUGCCCCAGAAGGCAUCCCCUCUUUCGUCCACUUCCAUCGGUAAUUUACUUGGAGCUAUAAUUUUAUUCACCAACAUGAUAUGUGUUUUGCUUGGAGCGUCUUGUACUAUUUGUGUCUUUGCUUGUUAGUUUACCACAAUCAUCCUUGCUGUACACACCUUUUGAGAGAGCCAUACAUGAAUUGAAAUUUGUUAGAAUACUCUAUGUGCUUCACUUAUAUCUUUUGAGCUUGAUAGUUUUGCUCAUAGUGCUUCACUUAUAUCUUUUUGAGCGUGAUAAUUUUUGCUCUAGUGCUUCACUUAGAUCUUUAAGAGCACGGUGGUGGAUUUGUUUUAAAGAAACUUGAUCUCUCAUGCUUCACUUAGAUUAUUUUGAGAGUCGUUGAUAGCAUGAUAAUUUGCUUAAUGUUAAUAUACUUGGUAUUCAAGAUAUGUGAAACUUUCUUUUGAGUGCGUUGAAUACUAAGAUAAGUUUGAUGCUUGAUAAUUGUUUUGAGAUAUGGAGGUGAUAAUAUCAUAGUCAUGCUAGUUGGGUGAUUAUGAAUUUGAGAAAUACUUGUGUUGAAGUUAGCAAAUCCCGUAGCAUGCACGUAUGGUUAAAGUUGUGUAACAAAUUUGAAAUAUGACGUGUACUUGGCUUGUGCAUCCUUAUGAGUGGCGGUCGGGGACGAGCGAUGGUCUUUUCCUACCAAUCUAUACCCCUAGGAGCAUGCGCGUAGUAUUUGAAUUUUUGAUGACUUCUAAAUUUUUGCAAUAAGUAUAUGAGUUCUUUCGACUAAUGUUGAGUCCAUGGAUUAUACGCAGUCUCACCUUUCCGCCUUUGCUAGUCUCUUCGGUACCGUGCAUUGCCCUUUCUCACCUUGAGAGUUGGCGCAAACUUCGCCGGUGCAUCCAAACCCCGUGAUACGAUGCACUCUAUCACAUAUAAACCUCCUUAUAUCUUCCUCAAAACAGCCACCAUACCUACCUAUCAUGGCAUUUCCAUAGCCAUUCCGAGAUAUAUUGCCAUGCAACAUCCACCAUCAUCAUCAUGACAUACAUUACUUUUGUCAUAUUGCCAUUGCAUAAACAUGUAGUUGACAUCGUAUUUGUGGCAAAGCCACGAUGCAUUAUUUUCCAUACAUGUCACUCUUGAUUCAUUGCACCAUCCCGGUACACCGUUGGAGGCAUUCAUAUAGAGUCAUAUCUUGUUCUAGUUUCGAGUUGUAAUCCUUAUGUUGUAAUCAAUAGAAGUGUGAUGAUCAUCAUUAUCAGAGCAUUGCCCAAAUGAAAAAAAGAGAAAGGCUAAAAAAAGAAAGGCCCAAAAAUAAUAAUAUAAAAAGGGCAAUGCUACUAUCUCCUUUUCCACACUUGUGCUUCAAAGUAGCACCUUGUUCUUUAUGUAGUGAGUCUCAUAUAUUGUGCUUCAAAGUAGGACCAAGUUUUUCAUAUAGUGAGUCUCAUAAGUUGUCUUGUUCAUAUUAGUGGGAAUUUUUCAUUAUAGAACUUGGCUUGUAUAUUCCUACGAUGGGCUUCCUCAAAAUGCCCUAGGUCUUCAUGAGCAAGCAAGUUGGAUGCACACCCACUAGUUUUCUUUUGUUGAGCAUUCAUAGCUCUAGUGCAUCCGUUGCAUGGCAAUCCCUACUCCUUGCAUCAACAUCAAUCGAUGGGCAUCUCCAUAGCUCAUUGAUUAGCCUCGUUGAUGUGAGACUUUCUCCUUUUUUGUCUUCUCCACACAAUCCCCAUCAUCAUAUUAUAUUCCACCCAGAGUGCUAUAUCCAUGGCUCACGCUCAUGUAUUGCGUGAAGGUUGAAAAAGUUUGAGAUUAUUUAAGUAUGGAACAAUUGCUUGGCUUGUCAUCGGGGGUAUAAAAGUUGGGAACAUCUUUGUGUGACGAAAAUGAAGCAUAGCCUAACUAUAUGAUUUUGUAGGGAUGAACUUUCUUUUGCCAUGAUGUUUUGAGAAGACAUGAUUACUUUGAUUAGUAUGCUUGAAGUAUUAUUAUUUCUAUGCCAAUAUGAACUUUUGUCUUGAAUCUUUCGGAUCUGAAUAUUCAUACCAUGAUUAAGAAGAUUUACAUUGAAAUUAUGCAAAAGUAUUACUCCGCAUCAAAAAUUCUUUUUUUUAUCAUUUACCUACUCGAGGACGAGCAGGAAUUAAGCUUGGGGAUGCCUGAUACGUCUCCAACGUAUCUAUAAUUUUUGAUUGCUCCAUGCUACUUUAUCUAUUGCUUUGGACUAUAAUGGGCUUUAUUUUCCACUUUUAUAUUAUUUUUGGGACUAACCUAUUAACCGGAGGCCCAGCCCAGAAUUGCUGUUUUUUGCUUUUUUCAGUAUUUCGAAGAAACAGAAUAUCAAACGGAGUCCAAACGGAAUGAAACCUUUGGGAACGUGAUUUUCUCAUCGAACGUGAUCCAGGAGACUUGGACCCUAUUCCAAGAAGCACCAGAGGCGGUCACGAGGGUGGAGGGCGCACCUCCCUAGGCGCACCCCCCUACCUCAUGGGCCCCUCGGAGCUCCACCGACGUACUCCUUCCUCCUAUAUAUACCUACGUAUCCCCAAACGAUCAGAACAGGAGCCAAAAACCUAAUUCCACUGCCGCAACCUUCUGUAUCCACGAGAUCCCAUCUUGGGGCCUGUUCCGGAGCUCCGUCGGAGGGGGCAUCUACCAUGGAGGGCUUCUACAUCAUCACCAUAGCCCCUCCGAUGAAGUGUGAGUACUUUACUUCAGACCUUCGGGUCCAUAGCUAGUAGCUAGAUGGCUUCUUCUCUCUUUUUGGAUCUCAAUACAAUGUUCUCCCGCUCUCUCGUGGAGAUCUAUUCGAUGUAAUCUUCUUUUUGUGGUGUGUUUGUUGAGACCGAUGAAUUGUGGGUUUAUGAUCCAACUUAUCUAUGAAUAAUAUUUGAAUCUUUUCUGAAUCCUUUUAUGUAUGAUUGAGUUAUCUUUGCAAGUUCUUCAAAUUAUCCUUUUGGUUUGGCCAACUAGAUUGGUAGUUCUUGCAAUGGGAGAAGUGCAUGGCUUUGGGUUCAAUCUUGCGGUGUCCUUACUCAGUGACAGAAGGAGUUGCAAGGCACGUAUUGUAUUGUUGCCAUCGAGGAUAAUAAGAUGGGGUAUUUAUCAUAUUGCAUGAAUUUAUUCCUCUACAUCAUGUCAUCUUGCUUAAGGCGUUACUCUAUUUUUAACUUAAUACUCUAGAUGCAUGCUCGAUAGCGGUCAAUGAGUGGAGUAAUAGUAGUAGAUGCAGAAUCGUUUUGAUCUACUUGUCUCAGACGUGAUGCCUAUAUACAUGAUCAUACCUAGAUAACCUCAUAACUAUGCUCAAUUUUGUCAAUUGCUCAACAGUAAUUUGUUCACCCACCGUAGAAUACUUAUGCUCUUGAGAGAAGCCACUAGUGAAACCUAUGGCCCCCGAGUUUAUUCUCAUCAUAUCAAUCUCCAUCACUUUAUUUACUUUCUUUGCUUUUACUUUUACUUUGUAUCUUUAUACCAAAAAUACCAAAAAUAUUAUCUCUAUCAGAUCUCACUCUCAUAAGUGACCGUGAAGGGAUUGACAACCCCUAAUCGCGUUGGUUGCGAGUAGCUAUUGUUUUGUGCAGGUACGAGGGACUUGCGCGUGACCUCCUACUGGAUUGAUACUUUGGUUCUCAAAAACUGAGGGAAAUACUUACGGUACUGUGCUGCAUCAUCCUCUCCUCUUCGGGGAAAACCAACGCAAGCUCGAGACGUAGCACCGAACAAGGCCUCAGUUGCUCUUUAGUUGUUUUUCUGCGGAUUGUUAGGAGCAUAGUAAUUGUCAUUGAUAGAACUGCAUAGUAUUUGUUAGGAGCUAGCUAGCUUGGUCUUCCCAAAAACAUGAUCCUUCUAAAUCUUGGUUUGGCUUAAUUUGAAUUAGCCUUCUCUGCAACAUACAUUCAUGCCAAUUUCAGUGUUGGUUUGUUUUAUAGUUUGGUUUGUUUCAAUGUUGUGGUUAGGCAAUUAGCAUACAAAAGUUUCUGGAUUUUUAGCUGCCAUUACUUCCAACCAUUUUCGUUAAUUAAUGUUGAUGCACUUAGAUUGAUUUGCUAAGUUGCAACAAUUUGUUGUCUUUGGCAGAUGGACAGAAGCUGGAUUAGAAAAGGAGUUAGAAUGUUUUAGAAAGAACAUAUUAAAGGAGUUGAUGAUUUCAUGGCAUUUGUUCGGGCAAAUUUUGCCAGCGAUGCUCACAUUCUUUGCCCAUGCUGCGAAUGCCUCAACCUUUCAAGAAUGGCUCAAGGAAGAGUGGAAGAUCAUCUGCUUCUUAAUGGGAUGUCCAACACAUAUGAUAGAUGGAUAUAUCAUGGAGAACCUUUAGACAGACAACCUCAACAUUUUGAAGCUGAUACAGAGGCCCCUCAUAUGAUGGGUGGCGGUGAUGCUGGCAUUUAUUUCAUGGAAAAGGUUUUGCAAGAUAAUGCUGGUUUGGAGGAAGAGGAUGGGCAUGAAGAUGAUAGGAUUCCUGACCUAUUGAAGGAUUUGUACGAUGCUGAAGAUCAUGCUGAUGGACAGAAGUCGUUGUUUGCUGAGGUGUUAGAGGAGGAGAAGCACGCAGCUCAUGAAGGGGGUAAAUUUUCAAGAUUUACCUUCACCGUGAAGUUACUCCACAUCAAGUAUUUCUACCGGAUUAGCAAUGCUGCAUUCAACACAAUACUCCGCCUUUUGAGCUUGCAAUUCCCUAAUAGUUGUGUUCCCAGAUCUUAUGAUGAAGCAUUGAGCAUAAUCCGCAGGCUGGGGUUAGGUUAUGUGUCAAUACAUGUGUGCCCAAAUAACUGUGUCUUGUUUUGGAAGGAUUUAGCAAAGCAUGACAACUGUCCAAAAUGCAAUGCCUCUAGGUGGAAAGAUGCUGAUGGGAAGAAGUCAAUACCGGAGAAGGUACUGAGGCACUUUCCAUUGAUACCAAGGUUGCAACGGAUGUUCAUCUCAAAGAAAUCAUCGCUGGAGGUACAAUGGCACAAGCUGAAGCGGCAACCUAUGGACAAUGAGCUGAGCCAUUCAGCGGACAGAGAGGCAUGGGAAGAGUUUGACUGUAUACAUGUAGAUUUUGCUGCAGAUCCAAGGAACAUAAAACUUGGCAUUGCCAUAGAUGGGUUUAAUCCAUUUGGGAACAUGAGCACGUCUUAUAGCAUGUGGCAAGUUUUUGUGGUGCUGUACAACCUGCCACCAUGGGCAUGCAUGGAUUAGUCCAACUUCAUGAUGUCAUUGCUUAAUCCGGGUCCAGAUUCUCUAGGAAAGGAUUUUGAUGUCUUUAUGGAGCCUGUCGUAGAAGAACUGCUCCAGCUCUGGACUGGUGUACCUACAUACGAUUCCUUGAGUCCGGAAGAAAAGUUCAAUCUACGUGCUGUAAUGAUAUGGUCCAUCCAUGAUUUCCCGUCUCUGCACACUCUGUCUAGGAGGAUCACGUCGGGUUAUAAGGCCUGUGCCCAUUGUGACAAAGACCCUUUCUCAAAGAGAAUAAGGAGCAAGAUCUUCUAUAUUGGGCACCGCCGCUUUGUUCCCCGAAAACAUCGCUGGCGAAGAAGAAAAUAUUUUAAUGGUGAGAAUUAAACUCGUGACAAGCCAGCUGAAUUCACUAAAGAAGAGUUGGAGUAGCAACUUUAAAAGGUGAAAGAUGUGAGACCAGGAAAGCUUGCGAAGAAAAGAAAGCGUGAGGAAGGUCAAUGUUGGGACCGGAGGUCUUGUUUGUGGGACCUGCCAUACUGGGCUGAUCUGAGAUUAAGGCAUAAUCUUGAUGUAAUGCGCAUUGAGAAAAACAUAUGCGAGAAUCUGCUAGGGACGUUUCUGAACAUUGAAGGGAAGACAAAGGGCACGGUUGGUUCUAGGCUUGAUUUGGAGGACAUGGGCAUAAGAGAAGAUUUGCAUCUACAACACAAUGAAGAUGAAGAUUCAUUUGAAAUGCCACGAGCAUGGUAUACAAUGAGUAAAGAACAAAAACUUGCAUUCUGUGAAUUCCUAAGAGCGGUGAAAUUUCCAGAUGGUUAUGCUGCUAACCUAGCAAAGUGUGUUACUUCUGAUGGAUUCAAGCUUUCAGUACUGAAAACCCAUGAUUGUCACAUCCUUCUUCAAAGGAUUUUACCGGCGGGCCUCCGAGGAAUCAUGGACAAGGAUAUAUAUGAAGUGGUUGCUGAGCUGGGAAAUUUCUUUAGAGAAUUGUGCUGCAAAACACUCAAGUUAACUAUCCUGGAAAGACAUGAAAAAGAAAUCCCAAUUAUUCUUUGCAAGCUCGAGAAGAUUUUCCCUCCAGCUUUCUUCACCGUGAUGGUCCAUUUGGCGGUGAACUUACCAAAAGAGGCAAUUCUUAGGGGCCCUGUGCAAUACGGUUGGAUGCACCCAAUCGAAAGAAGGCUGCUUACUUGUAAGCGUUAUGUGCGGAACACAACAAGACCUGAAGGUUCUAUUGCUAAAGCAUAUGUUGUUAACGAGUGCUUGACUUUUUGCUCUAGAUAAUUUGGCGAUGUGGAAACAAGAUGGAACCAGACGGGCAGACAUAGAGAGCGGUCUGAUUUGCAAAGUGGUGAUGUCUCUGUUUUCAACCAUGGUGUGAACUUUCAGCCUCACAAUACUUGGAGGCUGGUGAUGAGUAUGACAAGAUGGUUUGGUAUGUGCUCAGCAAUUGCGCCGAGGUUCUACCAUAUAUCGAGUACGUUAUAUCUUGUGCACUCAUUAUAUUUUUUUUUCUUGGGUUGGCACCAGCCUAUUGUUUUAAUUCACAUGUUUUGUUUGCAUUGCAGGAAAUGCAAGGAAGAGUUAAAUCAGGAAGAAAGCAAGAUCCAUGUUGAUAAAAGGGUUGCCAAGGGGUUUGCUAAGUGGUUUAAGAAUCAUGUGAGAUCUUUGGCCACAUGUUUGAUGUUUUUUGUGUUAUUCACCAACUGUUAAAUACCAUUGUUUGCUAAAUGGUUUAUUUUUGCAGAUUGGAAAGUUGCAUGAGGAGAAGAAGGUCAGUGAUGAUCUAUUUGCUUUGGCAUGCUUACCGGAUAAGCGAGUGAGAGUGUAUUCAGCAUGCAUUGCUGACAGUGUCUGAUACCACAUCGUUGACCGCGAGGAAAAAAGGAAGACACAGAAUAGUGGAAUUGUCACUGAGGGGUCACAUGAUCAUGAGAUCAUUGACUUCUAUGGUCAGUUGAGAAGCAUCAUAGAGUUGCAGUACAACUCUAGUGGAGGCAUCCAUUGCUUGGUUGUCUUAUUUUGCUGUGACUGGUUUGAGCUUGGUAGCAAGAAGAAGAGAGACUCUUUUGUCAAAUAUGAUGGCCACUUCAGAAGCAUCAACACUGUAAGGUGCUGGUAUAAGAGUGAUCCCUUUAUUCUAACAACACAAGCAACAAUGGUGUUUUAUCUGCCAGACACUCUUUUGCACAGAAAGUGGCGAGUUGUGCAAAACUUUGAGCACAGACACUUGUGGAGUGUGACUAAAACUGAAGUGGAAAAGGGCCCCGGUGGUGGUUGAGGGAGUCCUGGAUUAGGGGGUCCUCGGACAGCCGAACUAUAUACUUUGGCCAGACUGUUGGACUAUGAAGAUACAAGAUUGAAGACUUCGUCCCGUGUCCGGGUGGGACUCUCCUUUGCGUGGAAGGCAAGCUUGGCAAUUCAGAUAUGUAGAUCUCCUUCUCUGUAACCGACUCUGUGUAACCCUAGCCCCCACUGGUGUCUAUAUAAACCGGAGGGUUUAGUCCGUAGGACGAGAACAAUCAUAAUCAUAGGCUAGCUUCUAGGGUUUAGCCUCUACGAUCUCGUGGUCGAUCAACUCUUGUAAUACUCAUAUCAUCAAGAUCAAUCAAGUAGGAAGUAGGGUAUUACCUCCAUCGAGAGGGCCCGAACCUGGGUAAACAUUGUGUCCCCCGCCUCAUGUUACCAUUAGCCUUAGACGCACAGUUCGGGACCCCCUACCCGAGAUCCAUCGGUUUUGACACCGACAUUGGUGCUUUCAUUGAGAGUUCCACUGUGCCGUCAUGAUAAGGCUUGAUGGCUCCUUCAAUCAUCUGCAAUGAUGCGAUCCAGGGUGAGGUUUUCCUUCCCGGAUAGAUCUUCAUAUUCGGCGGCUUCGUACUGCGGGCCAACUCGCUUGGCUAUCUGGAGCAGAUCGAUAUCUACGCCCCUGGUCAUCAGGUCAGGUUUGGAAGCUUGAACUACACUGCCGACAUCCGUGGAGACUUGAUCUUCGACGGAUUCGAACCCAUGACAGGUGUGCCGAACAGUCACGAGGAGCAUGACCUAGAUCUGCCAUCAGACGACGUUCGGGAGAUCAUACCUGCGGUUGCCCCGGCUCUUGAUCCGGAGCAGAUCGUGCCAUCCGAGGACGGGUGGAUGGACCCCACCACGGAGGCCGCACACACAUCGGCGAUAGUGCCGAACACAGACUUCGCCUCCAAUGAGGCCUGUGUCGUCGGACCCUCGGACUCAUCUCUGGCCAUAGGCUCUGAACCGCGUACAUCCGUGCCUAUCAAAUCUGAUUGGGCACCGAUCAUGGAGUUUACCUCCGCGAACAUCUUUUAGCACUCGCCCUUGGGCAACGUGCUAAAUUCAUUGAAGUCUCUCUCCCUGUCAGGAGACUCUUGGCCGAACUAUGUCCGUCUUGAGUGGCAAGCGGAUGACGAAGAAAUUCGUUCUCCACCCACCACCCACUUAAUAGCCACUGUCGAUGACUUAACCGACAUGCUUGAUUAAGACUCCGAAGACAUCGACGGUAUGGACGACGAUGCAGGAGAAGAACAGGAACCAUCGCCCACAGGGCGCUGGACAGCCACCUCAUCAUAUGAUAUAUAUAUAUAUAUAUAUAUAUAUAUAUAUAUAUAUAUAUGGUGGACACGCCCAAAGAAAGCAAUGGCGACGAGGCAACACAGGAUAAUCCCCUUGAGAAGCAAUCUAAGCGCCGACGGCGCCGCUCUAAGCCCCGCUACAGCAAAAAUGGCGAUACUGGCACAGGAGACAAUAGCACUCCGGAUGGUGCCGAAGACGAAAACAAUCCCGUCCAGCCAAGCUUCGAGCAAGCCGGACAGGAUGAUGGGAAAGUUAGCCCCGAUAAACAGGCAAUGGAUGGAAAUUCGGAGGACGACAAUUACAUGCCUCUCUCCGAAGACGAGCCGAGCCUCGGCGACAAAGAAUUCAUCGUGCAUGAGGAUGCCGUCGAGCAAGAGCGCUUCAAGCGCCGGCUUAUAGCAACUGCAAAAAGCCUGAAGAAGAAGAAGCAGCUUCAAGCUGAUCAAGAUCUUCUAACUGAUAGAUGGACUAAGGUCCUAGCAGAUGAGGAAUAUAGACUCGCGCGCCCAACCAAAAGUUACCCAAAGCGCAGGUUGCUACCUCAACUUGGGGAGGAGGCAUUAAAGCCCACAGUACCAGCACAUGAUGCGGCUGACCGGCCACCUCGUGGCCGAGACAAAGCGGCGUAUCAGCCCGAAGUCCAGCCCGCACCCCAUCGCCAAACAAGCAAAAACACGAAGGCCCGAGGCUCCACACAUGACCUGCAAGACAAAUUGGAAAACAAAGCAAGACAGUCAAGAUCGAUCUACGGAUCACGGGGGCAUUCCCCAACGCGAGACGAUGACCUUCACACCGGAUAUACUAAAUACAAAUCCGGUCGGGCCGAAUACAACAGACCAGACUCGUUUGAGCUACGUCGUGAUGUAGCCGGCAUAGAGGCGCCGCACACCCCCUAUGCUUCACUGAUGAAGUAAUGGGUCAUGAAUUCCCAGAAGGGUUUAUGCCCGUGAACAUCGAAUCAUAUGAUGGAACUACAGACCCCGUGGUAUGGAUAGAAGAUUUCUUUCUCCACAUUCACAUGACCCACGGGGACGACCUACACGCCAUCAAAUACCUCCCAUUAAAACUCAAGGGACCUGCUCGGCAUUGGCUGAAUAGCUUGCCGACAAACUCCAUCAGAAGUUGGGAGAACCUAGCAGACACAUUCCUGGAUAACUUCCAGGGCACGUAUGUGCGACCACCGGAUGCUGAUGACUUAAGUCACAUAACCCAACAGCCCGGAGAGUCAGCCAGGAAAUUCUGGACUCGGUUCCUAACUAAAAAGAACCAAAUCGUCGACUGUCCGGAUGCUGAAGCCCUAGCGGCCUUUAAGCAUAAUAUCCGUGACGAGUGGCUUGACCGACACCUCGACCAAGAAAAUACGAAGUCCAUGGCAGCCCUCACGACACUCAUGACCCAUUUUUGUGCAGGAGAGGAUAGCUGGUUGGCUCGUAGCAACAACACAACAAGCAAUCCUGGCACAUCAGAGGCCAGAGAUAGCAACGGCAAGCCCCGACGCAACAAACACAAGCAUCGCAGAAAUGGUGAUAACACCGAAGACACGACAGUCAAUGCCGGAUUCAGUGGCUCUAAGUCCGGUUAGCGGAAAAAGGCAUUCCAAAAGAACAAUUCAGGCCCGUCCAGUCUGGACUGCAUACUCAAUCAUCCAUGCCAAAUUCAUGGCACCCCAAGAACACCAGCCAAUCAUACCAAUAGAGAAUGUUGGGUCUUCAAACAAACUGGCAGGUCAGGUGCCAAAAACAAGGAGAAAGGGUCCCAAAGCGAUGACGACGAGGAGGAGCCCCAAUCACCAAACAAAGGAGGGCAAAAGAAAUUUCCCCCGCAAAUCAAAACAGUGAAUAUGAUAAACGCCAUCCACAUCCCCAAACUGGAAUGGACGUGCACUCUUAGGGAUGUCGACUUAAAGGAGCCAAUUGCCCCACAAUAUAAACUAUGGACGAUCACUUUCGACCGUAUGGAUCGUCCGGCCAAUACCAAUCAGGGCAAUUCAGCCGCACUCAUCCUAGACCCAAUAAUUGACGGAUUCCACCUCACACGAGUCCUUAUGGACGGAGGCAGCAGUCUAAACCUGCUGUAUCAGGACAUAGCGCGCAAGAUGGGUAUUGAUAAUUCAAUGAUCAAGCCCACUAAAACCACCUUUAAAGGUGUUAUACCAGGUGUGGAGGCCCGUUGUAUAGGCUCCAUCACUCUGGAGGUAGUCUUCGGAUCACCGAACAAUUACCAUAUCGAAGAGUUAGUCUUCGACAUCGUCCCUUUCCGCAGUAAUUCUCAUGCACUGCUUGGAUGAACCGCGUUUGCUCGAUUCAACGCGGUGCCACACUAUGCCUACCGUAAGCUCAAGAUGCCCAGUCCACGUGGCGUCAUAACAGUUAAUGGCAAGGCCGAACUCCACCUCUGCGCCGAAGAGUGUACAGUCGCCUUAGAAGCAACGAAAGGUGUCUUUCAAUCGAACCUCGAGUCGACGGCCAAGCUCCCGGACACUGUCAAGGGAGUCCGAACUACUCUGCGGCAGGAUAGCCCGGCUCGCCCGGAGCUCAAUUAAGACACUCCAGCAGUAAACGGAGGCACAGCUAGAAUAGGCCACACAAUGCGGCUUAACCUCUCCAUGGCACAUAAAUAUCUUUUUGCACUAUCUUUGCAAGUCCACUUUUGUGUAGGCCAAGACUGGCGGCAUGGAAACAACUAGAAUGCAUAAGGGAAUCCUUAGAGAUGCCCUUUGACGACCAUCCAGUUACACUCCGGAUCCGCACACAGCCUCCUCCCACUUGAUUUCAGCAGGUUCCGAAGUCAUAUCUCUUUUUAUCACAUUACCUGUACUCAUACGCAUCGACGUGUUAUUCAAUUACAACAUGUGGCUUUAUAUGACGCUCAUCUGCUGUUGUUUCUUAUCGACACUCUUUGUCAAAUGGCAUCCGUACAUCGCGAUAUGCCUUAAUAUGCCAGGGGCUUCAUUGUACCCAUAAUACGACAAUAAAGUCCGACCACCUUCACGGUCAUUCGGCACCCCGAACUUAUAGCAUUAUAUGCAUCAGCUCCGAAUCAUGUCUUGGGUCAAUAGUUGGGUUUGCCCGGCUCCUAUGUUUUGCUGCCUUACGUUCCGCUAUAUUGGCUAGGGCGGCAUAGGGAGAACUAUUGCGAUUGUGUCUCGGUUCUUCCGGACGAGCGCCUCAUAGAGAAAGCUGAAAACUGACUGUCAUGAUACGGCGAGAGCUAGUCAGCUGUUCGACAGGUUGUAAAAUCUUUAAGGAUUUCUUCCGCAUAAUGCCAUAACCAAUGCAGCGUGCGAUGGAUCGGCUUUUCUUCUGAUUAGGUGCUUAUAGAGCCCCUCGUGCGGUCUUCCGAACAGCAGGGGCUGUGCCUAACUUCCUUUUGUUAAACUCCUAUGGCUAAGUGAGAGCGAUAAAGCCCUAUAGUCCGAUUGCCUGGUUCGUUGUGCUGAACACCUCCUUCAAGGACCCAAAACUGGGAUAAAGAGUGCUCAGGUUUAUCCCGAACACUCCCGUACUUCCUACAUGGGGGCAGAAGCCGCCGACUGGCCAACUCUCAGGAUUAAUAUAUAAAACGGCCGCGCAGGAGGAAAAACUUUCAAAUAACAGGCAAUAAACAAUAGAAAUGACCUUGUUCAACAUUACAAAGGACAACAUGACUGUAUUCAUGGAAAUAUAAUGUCCUUGGUGCAUUGCUCCGCCGCAAGGCGGGAUCCUUUUAGGACACUAUCAUAAUAUAAUUCAGGCUUGUGGUGCUCCUUCCCCUCUGGCGGUCCCUCGAUCAUCAGCUUUUCAGCAUCCAUCUUCCCCCAAUGCACCUUUGCGCGGGCGAAGGCGAUUCGUGCACCCUCAAUAUAGACCGACCGCUUGAUGACAUCAAGUCGAGGUCAGGCACUCACAAGCCGCUUCACGAGCCCGAAGUAGCUGCUUGGAAUCGGCUUGGCGGGCCAUAGCUGGAUAAUUAAAUCCUUCAUGGCUAGUUCGGCCGCCUUAUGCAGUUUGAUCAACUGCUUAAGCUGAUCGGCAAGUGGCACCGGAUAAACCGACGCCAGAUACUGCGACCAGAAGAGCUUCUCCUUAGUGCUCCUUUCUUCAACUCGAUAGAAUAGUGCGGCAUCAGAAAUGUUGCAUGGCAGCUCCGCAAAUACCCUUGGAGAAAUCAAAAUUCAAAUUAUCAACUUGAUUUUCUCCUUUCAAAUACCCGCUUUGUAUAGAAAAUCCUUGCCAGCCGCAAUCUUCCUCGCCUCCUGGAUUUCCUUCAGGGCACCAUGGGCUUCCCCCCGGGCAUCACUUGAGGCUUGGCGAGCUUGGCGAGCUUGGUAGAGUUCGGAUUCUUUCCCUGAUAAACUCUGCUCCAAGGUCUCGCAUUUCUCCACGGCCUCUUGAAGCUCUCACUCGGCUUCAAUAACCCUGGCCUCGUGCUUUUUGCAAAGAGCCUGCUCUACGACUGCCUUCUUCUCGGCUUCAGCCACAGUCUUCUUAAGAGCCUCAAUUUUGGCCGUCGCCCCUAGAGCACAUCAUAAAAAUAUUUUCAUCAUGCAAACUUAUUAAUUUGUGCUGAAUAUGAACAAGGUUUCUUCAUACCUUGGUUAUCCUCCAACUGCUUCUUCACUCGGUCGAGUUCCCCUUCGGCCCGCUCCAGACUCUGCCUCAGUCUGGAGACUUCCAUAGUUUGAGCGGCGACAGUUGCUACAAACGCCUGCUUUUGAAUAAAAGAGAGAUGCCAUAAAGUGAGUCUCCUGCGAACAUUUAUUUGAUCCUCUGUUCGGUUCCUUCUUUCACCGAACAGUGCAUCAGGGGCUACUACCUAUACUAUGACAUUCUUUGAAACCUCACAAAACAUACCUCAAGGCCCGUUCUAAGGCUGAUGCAGGCUUCAUUCAGUCCACUCUCAGCGGACUGAAUCCUAUCAACCACCGCACCCAUAAGGGCAUGGUGUUCAUCGAUGAUGGAGGCGCUUUUCAGCACCGCCAAUAAAGUAUCUAGCACCUCUGGUUGGAUAGAGGUUGCCGGUGGAAUAGGCACACCCCCUCUAGCCGAGGGAGGCCACCUGCCCACUUCUAGAGCCGUAUUGGUCUCUGGAAUUGCGUCCGGCUGGGGGCCGACUUCAAGAUAGCCCCCGCCGUUGACGUCUGUGGGAGUCUUCUCUCCCAUGUACCCGGCCCCCGAAGUUUGACCUCCUGGCACCGCCUUUACGAUCUCCCCCCCCCCCUCCUUGGCCUGGGUCCUUCUAGGACGAAACCUCGGUGUCAUUCACAUGUUUGGGGGAGGGGGCCUUCGGGGGUGUCCCGCUCUCCAUAGCAUCCGAGCCCAAUAAAUCCUCCGACAAAGAUUGUUUGGUGCGGGACCUCGCCGGACUACAAAAAAGUAUGGCUCAGAUUAAAAUACUAUGCCAUGAUGAGUCUGGACGCAUAAACGUAUUCGGAUUUUAUAUACUCACGAGUUCACCAGGGGCUGGGCCCUGGGAUCCCACUCCGGGCUGCUGUUGGCAGUAGUGGCAGACUCCUCUGGAAGGGGAGUUUUUCCCUUCUUAGGCGACUUGGCCUCCAAAGAUUUGGAGGCCGUCUUUUUCUUUCCUCCCCUUGCUGGGGAUGGGUCUUCCUCCUCUUCCUCGUCCUCUCUAGAGGAAGAUCGGGCAUCGGAGUCUUCAGACAUUGUGUCCGAAGUGCCACGACAAAGAAGGCCGCCCCUGGUCUUUUUGGCCCCCUUCCCGGCCUUCUUCAGCGCCUUGUAAGGCACCAGGACCAGCAUCUUCGUCAUAAGUGGGCCGGCCGGUUCUUCCGGCAAAGGGGCCGGAUAGUAGAUCCGCCCCACCUUCUUCGUCCAGCCCUAGGAGAGUUGUGGAAAACACAUUAAGCAUUUUCCUCAGGAUAUGCGAAUAAAACAUAUGAAUUGCCAACAUACAAUGACUUACCGAACUUGCAGGGCGGGACAGUUGGUACCCGCGGUCCUCUGCGGAGUCCGGCCACGAUUUGCCGGACUUAAAGAGCACCUUCCAAAUGUCCUUAUGCAAGGAGCCAAAGAGCUCUAGCAGGGUCCUGUGCUUGGCCGGGUCGAAUUCCCAUAAAUUGCAAGCCCUGUGUUGACAAGGAAGAAUCUGGCGAACUAACAUCACCUGGACUACAUUGACAAGUUUGAUAUUCUUGUCUUCCAUAUCCUUGAUGCGCGUCUGGAGCACCGACAGUUCGUCGGAUGAAGACCAGUUCAGGCCCUUUUUGGGCAAGGAUGUAAGCCGCAGGGGGGCUCUAGAUUGGAAUUCGGGAACAGCGGCCCAUUCCAUGCCGCGCGGCUCAGUGAUGUAAAACCACUGCUGCUGCCACUCUUUGACGGAAUCAUUGAAAGUACCUAAUAGCCAUGUGAUGUUGGGCAUUUUGCUCACCAUUGCGCCUCCGCACUCGGCGCGCUCGCUGCUCACUACCUUGGGCUUCACAUUAAAGAUCAUCAUCCAUAAGCCGAAGUGUGGCGAGAUGCGGAGAAAGGCCUCGCACACGACAAUGAAUGUCGAGAUGUUGAGGAAGGAAUUGGGGGAUAGAUCACGAAAAUCGAUCCCGUAAUAAUACAUGAUGCCGCGAACGAAUGGGUGGAGGGAAAACCUUAGCCUGCGGACAAAAUGAGGGAGGAAUACAACCCUCUCGUGGGGUUCCGGAGUGGGGACGAUCUGUCCCGCCGUCGGAAGACGGUGGUUGAUUUUCUUGGGCAAGUACCCGGCCUCUCGAAGAUUUUUUAUAUCCUUCUCCCGGACGGUAGAGGCCAUCCACUUGCCUCCUGCUCCGGAUCCGGACAUUUUCGGAAGGCCUUUGUGGGCGGAGAAGACGAACGCUUGGGCGCUGGAGCUCAAGCGAAGGGGAAUGGAUGAGCCGAGGAAGAAGAAGGCGUGGGCGAAAGAGGGGAGUACUUAUCUCCUUAUAAAGGCAGCGGGGAUCCUGCGCCUCCCCACUUGCCCGGUAAACUCGCUUAUUCCCCAAGCGUCGCGUUGAUGGCGCGGUUGGGUUACCCACACCCGUAUUUAUGAGAAUCCCAUGAUAAGGGGACACGAUCUCUGCUUCAACAAGACGUGCCAAUGAAACCUCCUCGUGAUAUGUGCGGUAGCAGGUUGGGAAAAAUGUUUCGCAUAAUGACCGGACCGUAGCGUAAUGUCACGCUGUGAAAAGUUGUCAGCAGAUUAGAUUUAUGGAAUAUUGUGCUCUCUAUGGUGGUAUGUGGAAAUUGUUUUGCAGAGCCGGACACAAUCCUUGUGUUAAAGAUCUUCUAUGGAGUAUUCGGAGAAGGAACCCGCCUUGCAAUGCCGAAGACAAUCUGCGCGCCGGACUCAUCGUCAUUGAAGCCUGGUUCAGGGGCUACUGAGGGAGCCCUAUAUUAGGGGGUCCUCAGACAGCCGAACUAUAUACCUUGGCCGGACUGUUGGACUAUGAAGAUACAAGAUUGAAGACUUCGUCCCAUGUCCGGUGGGACUCUCCUUUGCGUGGAAGGCAAGCUUGGCAACUCGGAUAUGUAGAUCUCUUUCUCUGUAACCGACUCUGUGUAACCCUAGCCCCCUCCAUGUCUAUAUAAACCGGAGGGUUUAGUCCGUAGGACGAGAACAAUCAUAAUCACAGGCUAGCUUCUAGGGUUUAGCCUCUACAAUCUCGUGGUAGAUCAACUCCUGUAAUACUCAUAUCAUCAAGAUCAAUCAAGCAGGAAGUAGGGUAUUACCUCCAUUGAGAGGGCCCGAACCUGGGUAAACAUUGCGUCCCCUGCCUUCUGUUACCAUUAGCCUUAGACGCACAGUUCGGGACCCUCUACCCGAGAUCCGCCAGUUUUGACACCGACAGUGGUGGACUAACAUACCAGGAUGAUGACUCUAUGGAAGUUCCGUUGCAAACUGAUGAUGACUCUAUGGAAGUUUCAGUGCAACACAGAGUGCGAAGGGACCGAGAACGUGUGCUCAUUGAUGCUGCAACAUUUGAAGACAUCAAGAAAAGACGAAAGGUGGUAGCAGAUGGACAUGAGAGCGAGGAUGAGGAAAACAUGACUGAUCAUACUGUGCUGCAAUAUUGUAGUGAUGAUGAGGAAAACAAGACUGGGCAUAGAGUUCCUUGUUUUCAUAUCGACAACGGUGAGUAGCGACGGUAAAUUUUGUCUCCUUGGUGAGCUAAUGCUAUUUUAUCUCCUUGGUAGUUGUUGUUGAUGUGAUACUGAUGUAGUUUUUGUACUACAAUUGUCUAGGUACCAGAAUGCAUGAGACUGUGUAGUGAUGGAGAGGCAGAUGAUGGUUGAAGAUACAAAAUGAAGAGGCAAAAUGAAGUUUUGGUGUUCCUGAUCCUGAUCUACAUGUUUUGAAGAUACAAGCUGAUGGUUGAUGUGAUCCUGAUCUACAAGUUUUGGUGAUCACGAAGUUUUGUUGAUCAUUAAGAUCAUGAAGUAGUGGUGAACUAUUUUCCGAGCUAUUUUUCUUAGUUUUGGUGAACAUGCUCUAGUAGUUUUGCUUAGAACUAUUGUUCUCAAAAUAUUGUCAAAUGAUUGCAAAACUAUUUUGUCUUGUAAUGUUGUCUUGUAAUGUUGUCAAAAUGUUAUCUUGUAAUGCAAAAGAUUGCAAAAUGAUCAGAUAGAAGAUGUUGUUUUUGUGAUCAUUUAGUAGUUUUGGUGAUCUAUUUAGUUCAAGUUUCAGAACUAUUUAAUUCAUGUUUUUUUGAACUGAAGAUGUUUUGGUUAGAGCUAUUUUGGACAGAAGAUGUAACUGAAUUUUGCACCAUUUCAUUGUGAGCAAAAAAAUAUGCGCGAGCGAGGACUCGAACCCACGACCAUGCGCUUGUUUCACUGUGUUUCUACCACUGGGCUAGGAAGAGGCUACUGGUCUUCUACUCUAUGCCAUAUCUUUUCAAAUCGUUAAACCAGGCAAGUAUUUAACACAUACCUCACUGACAAGUGGGCCACUCGGCCCACUGGCUGACAAGUGGACCAGUUUGCUACACUACCCACUUGACCCACUUCCCAGAAAAUAUUGGCGUGCGGCCAAAAAGUAUGCACGAGCUGGGGCUCGAACCCAUGACCAUGCGCUUAUUUCACUUGGUUUCUACCAUUGGGAUAGGAAGAGGUUUUUGGUUUUGUACUCUAUGCCCACCCUUUUCAAUAUAUCAAACCACUCACUAACAAUUGGGCUUGCUCCUCCUCCUCUCCACUCUUUUCCCCACUCCCCCUCUCCACUCCUCCUCUCCACUCGACCCGCUCCUCCUCUCCACUCAACCCGCUCCUCCUCUCCGCCGCCACGGACUUCUUCCUCUCCCACCGCCGCCGGCUCCUUCCUCUCUCUCGGUCGCCGACUCUCCAUCGCCAUGGGCCACUUGUGAAGUAUGAAUCCCCUUCCUCUUCCUCUUCCUAUCUACUGUUAUGAUAGAUUAGGGUGAUUCCAUUGAUUUUAUUAGGGUUCUUACCACCGGAUUAGGGUUUGAUUAGGCUUGGAUUAGGGUGUUUGUUAAUACAAAUUUUGUGCUAUUUUAGGUGACGGCGACGGCCUCCCCUUCUCCUCCCCGGCGCCUCUGCUGGUCCGACGCCUCCCGCGCGGCUUGCCCUGCGCUGCCGGCGACCACUUCUUCUCAGGCUUCGGCGUAGGUAAGCCAUCCGCUUCAUAUCCUCUCUCCUUUCUCUUCUGCUCUAGGGUUUGAGAAUCUAGGGUUUGUUAUGCAUAUUAGGCAUCUAGUUGUUCUUGGUGGAUUUAGGCAUAUUGUUCUUGGUGGAUUUAGUAUGCUCUGUUGGUGGAUCUGUGGUAGAUAGUGUGAUAGACUGCUGACAGUGUAAUUAACUGAAUUCUAUGGUAGAUAGUGUGGUAGACAUGUUGUUCUGUUGUUGUUGAAUUCUGUGGUUAGUUAACUAAAUUAAUUGAAGUCUGUUUCUAUUGAAUUCUUUGGUGAACAUGCUGUUGCUGUUGCCAGCCUGCUGUUGCUGUUGAAUUAACAUGGCAUGCAUACAACAAUCCUUUUGUUGUUGUUGUGUAAUUAACUGAAUGUAACUAAUGAGGAGUGCUGACAGCAAUUCUGUUGAUGUUGCUGUGUAAAUAACUGAAUGUAACUGAUGAGGAGUGUUGCUUUUGUUACUAGUUGUGGUUAUUCUUGUUAUCAAGUCUUUUGCUGCAGUGGGAUUCAUGCAUAUGCAGGUGUAGUGACCUGCAUGAACAUGGGCAGAGUAGUAGCAGCAGUAGAUGCCAACUUUUGAUAUGCAUGCAUGCAUUCUUGCUUGUUUAUAUUCUUUCAAAUUGAACAUGCUCAAGUAUGGAAACAUUACAUUCUUCUCCAACUUAGUGGCCAAGAAACAUUACAUUUAUGAGUGCACAUGCUCAAGUCUGUGUGUCUGUUGAUGUUUUUGCCCUCAGAAAUGUUGAUGGGUGCUGUUGAUGUUGAUGGGUUGUGUUGAUGUUGAUGUUCUUCUUCUACUCAUUGCCCCUUUGCCAAGAUAGAGUAGGAGCAAAUUGAGGCCAUUGCCAUUUAUAGUAGUAUUCCAAAUUGAGGCCCUGGCAAACACAUGUAGUACAUAUUCUACUGCUUUGAAGUGCUUGUUUCCUAUUUAUGUACAGUCUUGUUGUUUAAUUUACAAUGCUGCUUUUCAGAGAAGUGAGAUGGCUAGCUUGGAAGGUUUCAAGUUCUUUGAGAUCGUAAUUGAGAAAUCUUGUAGUAGGCAGGUAUAUUCCCCUUCACCCAUCUCUUUAUCAUCACUCUGCUGUCUAGUGCUUGAUUGGCACAAUUAACCACUGCUUGACCCUCGCUGCAGAGGCUGCCUGACAAGUUUGCGAAGAUGCUUGCCAGCCGUGAGCCCCACAAAGUGAAGCUGCGGGAGGCCGGCAGUAGGCGUCGUAGGCUGUGGGACGUGGUGGUGGUGUUCGACGGUGAAGACCACAUGUACCUAGGGCCCAGUUGGGAGCAUUUCGCCCGCGCCCAUGAGCUGCAGCUCAGGCACUUCCUUGUCUUCCGCUACAAUGGCGACACCAUGUUCACUAUGAAGAUGUUCGACAACACCAUGUGCUGCAUGUACUACCAGCACGUCAACGAUGCCAGUAAGCUCUCUGCAUCUCUUCUUCCUGUCCUUUUGGCUUCCUCUACCAGCACGACGGCAACACCAUGUUCACACUUUGUUGCAUUUGGCCAGGCAAUGGGAGUAGAAGCAGGGAUGACGAGGAGCAGAGUGGGCAAGAAGAGGAGUAGAGCGAGGAUGACGAGGAGCAGAGCGGGGAUGACGAGGAGUAGAAUGGGGAGGUGCAGCCUAUUCUGGCUGACGACGACCUUGCUAUGGUGGUGGCUGACGACGACCCUCCUAUGGUGGUUGCUGACGAUGACCUCGCGAUUGUGGUGCCUGACGCUGACGCUGCUAUGGUGGCUGACGACGACCUCGCGAUUGUGGUGCCUGACGCUGACCUUGCGAUGGUGGUGCCUAACGAUGACCUCGGCGAUGGUAGUGGCGCCAGCGAUCCCAUAGCUGGGCGACAGGACCAUGCCUAUUGUGGUAGAGGAGUACAUCCGCGUCGGCAUUCGCCACUCUGAGCGCAUAAGGAGGAUGAAGGAGAAUAAGGAGAAGAAUGAGUGAAGAUGUUAAGAAAUCAAGUGGCAAUGCUAAGUGGAAAUGCCAAGCUUAGUUUGAAUUUUGUGCAUGCUUAUGGAUGCUCAAGUAUGAAUAUUCGGUUUCUUAAUUAUGAAUAUUCAGUUUGGUAAUUGAUGGGAAUUGAUAUUUUGUGCAUGCUCAUGGAUGAAAGAUGAAAUUAUGGGUUUUUGUGCAUGCUCAUGUAUGAAACAAUAUAAGUUUCAUUUUGUGAUUGUCAAAAACAUGUUUUUUCAUUAAGAUUGUUCAUUAAGAAUCAACAAUAUAAGUUUAAUGCUCAAGUAUGACAGUGUCAUCUAAACAUGGUUUUUUUAUAAAGAAUCGACAACAGAUUUGCAUGACUAAAACCCUAGCCACGGACGGCCGCCACGAUGAAAUCGACCAAUUUUUUAAAACACCAUAAAAAAUUCAAACAAAUUCAAAAAAUGGGAGACCUCCGCGUCACAUCAUCAAAUGUGGCCUACCAACUAGCAAAAAUACUAAACUUGGAAUACUGACGUUCUCUUGAAAAGGUGUUCUCAAAAACGACCUACCAUGAACGAAGAUUCAUGGCUUUCAAGCCAAACUAGCAAUGAUGUGGCCGCAUCCAUUGAAUAGUUUUUGAUAAUAUGCCCAAAUUUGGCGCAUGCCUCCGUCUUGUGAUGGCAAACAAUGUUGCCAAAGCGAGCUUCCAACUUGUUACACAAAAAAACCGUUUUCAUUUUUUGAAUGCUAAAGACAUGCGUUUUUGGUGAAGCGGCUACAAGGAGGGUCACCCCAAACGGCGCCAUUCCAUGUCUAUCUCAAAGUAGACCAUAUUUUACGGACGGUCGCCAAAAAUCAUGCAUUUCCGACCCUCGUAGCUACUCCCGGCCAUUCAGACAACCUUCGGCCGAUUCAGCUGGAACCGGCUGGAAUUUGAACCGCGGGUCCUCCAUAGCAUGCCCGUUAUUUUUGCCAAAAAUCAUUUUUAGCUUCACAGGUAGGCAUUUCAUCAAAGAAUCGACAACAGAUUUGCAUGACUCAAACCCUAGCCACGGACGGCCGUCGCGACAAAAUUGGCCGGUUUUUGAAAACACCGUAAAAAAAUCAAAAAAAUGGGAGACCUCCACGUCACAUCAUGAAAUGUGGCCUACCAACUAGCAAAAAUACUAAACUUGGAAUACUGACAUUUUCUUGAAAAGGUGUUCUAAAAAACGACCUACCAUGAACGAAGAUUCAUGGCUUUCAAGCCAAACUAGCAAUGAUAUGGCCGCAUCCGUUGAAUAGUUUUUGAUAAUAUGCCCAAAUUUGGCGCAUGCCUUCGUCUUGUGAUGGGAAACAAUGUUGCCAAAGCGAGGUUCCAACUUGUUUCACACAAAAAACGGUUUUCAUUUUUUGAAUGCUAAAGCAUGCGUUUUUUGUGAAGCGGCUACAAGGAGGGUCACCCCAAAUGGUGCCAUUCCAUGUCUAUCUCAAAGUAGACCCUAUUUUACAAACGGUCACAAAAAAUCAUGCAUUUCUGACCCUCGUAGCUACUCUCGGCCAUUCAGACCACCUUCGGCCGAUUCAGCUGGAACCGACUGGAAUUUGAACUGCGGGUCCUCCAUAGCUUGCCCGUUAUUUUUGCCAAAAAUCAUUUUUAACUUCACAGGUAGGCAUUUCAUCAAAGAAUCGACAACUUAUUUGCAUGACUCAAAUCCUAGCCACAGACGACCGCCGCGACGAAAUCGGCCGGUUUUUGAAAACACCGUAAAAAAUUCAAAAAAAUCAAAAAAAAUGGGAGACCUCCGCGUCACAUCAUCAAAUGUGGCCUACCAACUAGCAAAAAUACUAAACUAGAAAUACCGACAUUUUCUUGAGUUAUUCGGUAUGAUUUUAACCAUUAUUUCUACAAAGUUUACAAAAAAGACCCUGAAUUUUUCUGCCUCCAAACCUUUAAAAAAUGGUGAAAAUUUCCCUCCCACCCCACCAAAUUUUCCCUCCCACCCCACCAAAAUUUCCCACCACUUCUCUCCCACUACCAUGCGGGACCCACCACCCCUCUCCCACUAAACACGCUGGAUCCCCAUUCCCCUCUCUAAAAUUUCCCCAUUCCCCUCCCCUCUCCCCGACGAACCCUAGCUUCUCCCUACCCUGNNNNNNNNNNNNNNNNNNNNNNNNNNNNNNNNNNNNNNNNNNNNNNNNNNNNNNNNNNNNNNNNNNNNNNNNNNNNNNNNNNNNNNNNNNNNNNNNNNNNNNNNNNNNNNNNNNNNNNNNNNNNNNNNNNNNNNNNNNNNNNNNNNNNNNNNNNNNNNNNNNNNNNNNNNNNNNNNNNNNNNNNNNNNNNNNNNNNNNNNNNNNNNNNNNNNNNNNNNNNNNNNNNNNNNNNNNNNNNNNNNNNNNNNNNNNNNNNNNNNNNNNNNNNNNNNNNNNNNNNNNNNNNNNNNNNNNNNNNNNNNNNNNNNNNNNNNNNNNNNNNNNNNNNNNNNNNNNNNNNNNNNNNNNNNNNNNNNNNNNNNNNNNNCCCGCUCCCUCCCCUGCUCCGCGCCGCCCCACUCCCUCCCCUGCUCCAGGCCGCCCCCCGUGCCGCCCCACCGUGUCGCGCUGCCCUACAUCGCCCGCAUCGACUACAUCGACGACGACGAUGACGACGGCUACAUCAACGACGACGACGGCUACAUCGACUACAUCGACGACGACAACGGCUACAUCGAUGACGACGAGGUCGACGACGACCACUACUGCAUCAUCAACAUCAUCCCCCCCUAGGUACUUCUCCCCUUGAUCCAUCUCCCCUCCUCUGGUGGAUCCAUCUCCCCUCUGGUGGUUCAGUUGAUCCCCCUCAUGGGUUAGGAUAUUCUAGAGUUAGGAUCUCCUGGUGGUUCAGUAGGUCCUUGUUCUUGGGGUUAGGGUUCAUGUUUUCCCGCCUGGUGGUUCGUUCGAUCCCCUUCUGGUAUUCUGCUCAGGGUUCGUUCAUUCUUUCUUGGGGUUGGUAAGCCUCUGCUGCUGCUGCUGCUGUAUAUGUGACCAUGCUUAGAAUGGAUACAAGUCUUCUUCUUCUUGAUUAGUUCCUAUGUAGAGUAUGUAUACGCUGGAAUAGAACUCUCUCAUUUUUUGGAUAAAUGGCAUGAAUUUUGGUUAUCUGGAGGUUAUAUUUUGGGCUUCUCUGAAUAUUGUUGGGCACCUGAUAGUGUUGUUAUAGUACCAAUCAGAUACUGUAGACCAUUGUGCUAUACUAAUACUAGUACGAGACAUUGUCAGAUUUACCACAUGAUGUAUACGUGAUCAUGUGGGGACUGGGGAAGGAAAGAGAGCGUGAGGUGGGCUCUAUAUGUGCUCUGCUUAGAUGUAGUAUAUUUUGUCUGCUGUAUAUGUGCUCUGCUGCCGAUGUAUAUCUAUGUGCUCUGCUGCUCUAUGUACUGUUGUGCCAUGGCGACUUGGGGCGACUAAUCAAGCCAAGUCGUUGACUCAAGCCAGCAAGCCACUAGCCGCAGCCUUGGUGACUUGGCUUGACUCGGCGACUCAAAAACCUUGCUUCAAUUUCCUUCCUUCCUUCCUUGUUUCUGUCAGUAGCACUAUGCUUGUUUCUAUCGGUAGCACUUUCCAUGCUUGCUUGCUUGUAUUAGUAGCUCUUAUGCACUUUGCUUGCUUGCAACUAUGGUUUGUAUCAACAUGUACUUGAUUGCUUGUAGCACUUUGCUAUCAGUAGCACUACUAGGGUUUGUAGUAGUGUUCUUCUUUUAUGAUAUGCGCAUGAAGCUUGUGUUCUUCUUUCUAGUGAACAAGAGAAUGCUUAGUACUUAUUAUGGUAUUGGAAUUCCUGGUGUGUUAAGGCAGUAUGACUAGUUUUAAUAUAUACUAGAUUGGUGCUAGAUAAUUUUGGGUGUUGUAAUAUACAAGGUUGAUUCUAAUUGUUGAAAUGUCUUAACUUGUGUAAUCUAGUCUGUAGCCAUUUUUUGUGUGUAGAGGCAGCAUAAUCAAUAGUUGAGUAUAGUUUUUUCAUCUGUUUUUGUACUGCUGCAAGUAUAGUUGUUUCAUGCUUUACCAGUGGCAACAUCUAGUUGUUUUGAAGGUACUCAUAAUAUACUCGUCUAGCUUGCUGUCAGACUGUCUAAGCAUGUGUACAUGACACCAAUUCACUAGUUCAUGUUGCUUGCUUGCUAGCAUACAUGUUGCUUGCUAGCAUACAUGCUUAAUUAGGGUUUCCAUCAGCAGUACUUGCUUGUAUCAGUAGCACUUGGAGAAGAAGCUACUUGCUUGCUUAUUAAUUAGGGUUUGUAUCAAUAGUACUUGCUUGCUUCUUUUCAAUUUCCUUCAUUGCUUGCUUGUUUCUAUCAGUAGCACUUUGCUUGCUUGCUUGCUUGUAUUAGUAGCACUUAUGCACUUUGCUUACUUGCUACUAGUGUACAUGCAUGCUUGUUCGGUGCACUUACAUGUUUGCUUAAUUAAUAAGAGUACAUCAUUGUAUUGUUGAUUCAUCAAGUUUGCUUCACCUAUAUUACAUGUAUGUGCAUGAUGGUCCAAAUGCUUUCAUUGAUUGAUACAAGUGCAUCAUUUACUUUAUCCCUAUUGUAUCUGAUUGUUGUUUAUUCUAUUUUGCAAGCACCACCUCAAGAUCAUCCAUGGCAAGGAUGACAAGGUCAAACAAGAGGCCAACCAUUGGUAUGCAAUUUGCCCCUUGGGGUUAUACUAUCAGUUCUAUAAAAUAUGUGUCUUAAUAUGCUAAGUGAAAUGUAUUUCUGCAAUCUGAAUAAGCUGGCUUAAUUGUGCAUGUGUGCUGUUAGUCUUCCUUACCUGAAUAACUAGGAUUAAAUAAUAAUAAAAUCUCAUAAGAAAUGUUUGGCUGGCUGUCCAUGCAUUCCAAACAUUCACCUAAUAGUUACGUUUCCUUUAUCAUGCAAAGAAGAGCCUCUCACCGAGUACGAGAAGGUUAGGGCUAGAAAUAUUAUGAGGAAUAAUCGGACGUUCCAGUCCCUUGGCAUCAGUGCAAUAGCGUCAAUGAUGAGGAAAACAAAUGAUGUACAAGAAGGUAGUAGUGAUGAGGUUCAAGAAGGUAGUGGAGUUAUCAAUGAUGACCCAGAGUACAAUCCUAAGGAGGAUGAAGUUAUUGAUGGAGAGGAAGUGGAUGAUGUCGUAGUGAAGAAGACUGUUAAGGUGCAAACGCUGUCUUGCUUGGAGGGUUGGGGGUUCUUUUAUGCUAUGUGUUUCCUUGUGCUCACAUAUUUCUCUUGUGAUGUAAUGCUUUUUUCCGCGCUGUUUAUACGAGGCACUGAAGGAAUCUAGGACGAAGAGGCCUGGUGUUAAGAAGACAGUCAACAAGAAGAAGAAGAGCUCAGAAACAUCUACUACAAUGCCUCCUGUAAGGGUGAUGGCCCUAGCUCCAUGACAAAAAAGAGGAUCCUGGAACCUGAUGAACCUGCCCCUGAUAGAGUCACAAGGCAGAAACCAAAGAUGGCGACUGCGAUGGACCAUCAGGAAAGUCUGCUGCGCAUGGACUCUGAGACCUCGGUGCAAAUGGGUGAUGAGUUGCCGCCCAUGGAUGAAGGAACCACUCUCUGCAUGGAUGGAAGUGGCACUGUCAGCCUAGAUGAAGGAGGAACCAUCAGCAUAGAUGAAGCAGGCACUGUCCACACAGACCUCAGCCCUGUUGUACCUUCUAUUGACAUGAAUGUUAUCAUUAAUGAAGAAGAACAUCAGCUUGUGCUUCAACCAGGCAAGUUAACCUUUGUAAUGCUCUCUUUUACUAGUGCAUUUUCCAAAUGUAAUGAUCAUGCAUGCUUUUGUCGAUUCCUCCAUCUGUCGAUUUCUAUUCUAAUUUAUGAGUUCAAUUUCAUUUUCAAAUGCAAUGACUACCAAGACUAGACUUAGAAAGGGCAAAGGGCUAGAGAGAAUCACCAAGUCGCUUGGUAGCAAGGUGCCUAUACAAAUUGCCGAAGGGAUAAAGCGUCCAGAGAAGCCUCUGCAGGCAGCAAAGCUUGCUUCUGAGUGUGGACUCGUUGCAAGAAGCCAUCUGCCGGUUCUUCCUCACUUCAAGUUAUACAAAAAAUGGUAGUCUAUUGAAGAACUAUAUUGGGAAAGUUGUUGUACGCUACUUGUUUCAUAGUUAAUGUGCUACCUAUUUUCCGUUAUACCUAUGCAUGAUCACUAAUAUUGUUCCUACUUUGUUUACUAUCUUGGUAGGCAAAUUUUGAGAUGAACACGGACUCGGAGACCAUCAAGACCGCGUGCAAAGAUAUUCUUCAGAAAAAUUCAAAGAACAGACACUAUCAGAUCAAGAAGAAGUAUUUUGAUACCGUAGCCGCAAACAAAGUCAGCAUCAAGUCUCCGGUGCCAGAUCUGACGGACGGUGAAUGGCGAGCUCUGGUGGAGAUGUGGUCUACCCCAAGGCACAAGGUUUGUCUCUGUUUUGUUUGCUGCUUUAUGUUCUGCACACGAUAUGCUAGUGCUAGAUCAUGCUGACAGUAUGCUUUUUUGUAGGAAACCUGUAUGUCGAACAAGAUGAAUCGAGAAAAAGUCGUGUAAAAUCAGAGAACUGGUUCCAGGCACUACACAACACACAUUUUUGCCACUGUGAGAACUUUUCUCUAGAGACCUUAUCAUUUGAUCCUCGUUGAAUAUCAUUUCUGAUUCUUGCUGAAUAACAUUUUGAUUUUUGUUGAAAAACAUUUCAGAAAGAAGAGCGUAAGGGUGAGGAGCUGUCUGCGAUUGACUUGUUUAAGGCCACCCACAACAGCAAGAAGCACGGGUUUUUGGAGCCAGUCAAGACUGCUAUAGUAAGUCAUUCCAUGCUUUGUCCAGCCAGCUCAAACUUUUGUCUAGAAACCUCAGCCCUGUUUGAUUCACAGCCAGCUUUGAUGUUGUUUGAUGCUUUGAUGAUUUGAUGUUGUUUGAUUCGGAGCCAGUCAAGAACACACGCUAUGUUCCAUGCUUUGAUGAUUUGAUGCUGUUUGAUAGUUCAACAAAGAUAUCAGAACUUGUUGUAGCUAUUUGUUGCAUUUUUUAUGAUAUGAUGAAAUUUGAUCUGAAUGUUAGCUUGAUGAUCGGCUCACUCGGGAAGCCAUCUUAUAUAUAACCACCAUUCUAGGCUUAAUGAAGCGAUCAUAUUGUUCCAAUUGCAUGUCUCCAGGUCACUAGUCAUCAUCUUCUUGUAUAGAUUUUGUGUGCUGGUUUGGUUACUUCAAAUAAUCCAUUUGUGUGCUGGUUUGGUUUGCAAAAUGUGAAAUAGAUCUCCCACUAAUGCCUAUCAUUUUCCUCCAUAUGCUAGCUUGAGAUGGAAAAAAUGAAGGACGCGCUGGUACCAGAUGGUGAAGAGCCAAAGGCUGCUGUUGAAAUUGUUGAACAAGUGCUCAAGACCAAAGUCAAGCAAAGCACAUUCCUCAGGAAUGUUGGGCUCCAGUCAUCUAGGAACAACUCUAGCAAAGUAACUGCUGAAGUGGCUGCUCAUGUUCGUGAUCUUGAGCAGAAGCUGGAGAGGUCUGAGCUUCAAGCUGAAGUGAUGCAAGAAGAAUUGGCGGCAAUCAAGAUGAAGGCGGAAGAAUCUGAAGCUGCACGCGACAAGGAACUUGAGCUGCUGCACAAGAAGUCUCAAGAGCGGGAAGAGAAGUUAGCCCACUUGAUGGCUCUCUUUGGAGCUAAGGUAGUUUGAUGGCUGUGCAGUUUGUCUUUGAACCUCUUAUGCAGUUUGUCAUAGUUUAGAUCUCUUUGAUGGUUGUGAACCUAUGAACCUGGGAGCAUUUUGUUGCAUUUUGUUGCAUUUUGCUGUUUGAACCUGGGAGCUGUGAAGUUAUGUGAUCCUGUGCGCUGUGAAGUUAUGUGAACCUGUGAAGUUAUGUGAUCUUGUGAACCUGUGUUUAUUUUCUGUGAAGUUAUGUGGAUCACUUGUGCACCUGGGCCUUGCUUUUUGAACCUGGCCUUGUGGAUCACCUGUGCACCUAGGCCUUGCUGUUUAUAGUUAUGCAAAAUAAGAACCUUGGCUCUAAAAAGGUCGAGGCCCAAACAAGAAUUAGACUAAAAAGGCUUGGGCAUAAAAAAGAGUUGAUUGUAAGAAAAAAGUUUGUAAAAGGUUGCAUAACAGAAAAUAAAAAGGCCAAGGCCCAAAUUCGAACUAGACUAAAAAGGUUGUGGCCCAAAACAACAGUGGACUAUAAAAAAAUUCAUCAGAAAAAGGCUCCAUUCCCAGAAAAUAAAAGGCCAAAUUAUUGGGCCAGGCCCAUGCAGAUAAGCAAAAUAAAGAGAAAAAACAUUAAAUGGGAUGAAUUAUUGGGCUUGGCCCAUGUACACGACUGAAAUGGACCGAGCUGAUUCUAUUUUAUGACCUUUUCAUUUGGUCAUAAUUCUGCCACAUCAGCUUGCCACGGUGGAUCUGACAUGGUGUGGUCGGAUUGCUAGUGACCAAAAUAAUUGGUCGUUAAAUCUACGACCUUUUUUGUCAUAAACGUCUACGACUAUUCCAGAAGAAAGGUCCCUAAUUUCAGUUUACGACGGCCAGCAUUUGACCUUCUGUUUUUGGUCACAAAAAGGUCACAAAUGGAAAACAAUGACCAUUGAGUGACCAAUAGUGGUGGUCACAAGUUGACAUAUUUCUUGUAGUGCAUGAUACUCGCUCCAGCUUCAUCAACAUAGUCAUCAUCGCUGUCAUCGGGGUCUGAGUCGGUGUCAUCAAUGAUGAUGUAGUCCUCCGAACGAAUGUCUUUGGAAUCGUCAUCAUCUCCUCCUAGCGCGGGGUCUCCCAUGAAUACUCCUAGCUUCCUUGUCUGGUCAUCAUUCUUCUCCACUAGUAUCGUCAUUUCCCCCUCAUAUCCGUCGCGUGUAGACUUGAGUUCCUCCUCUAGCUCCGAAAUCUUGGUCCUUGCCUUCUUCAGAUCUAUCAUGCCUGCGCACAUCUGGUUCUCCUGGCGACGAAUGUGCUGGUUUAACUCCUGGAUAAAAGCUGCAAUGGACCUGUCCCUCUUGGUGCUGAUCAUCUCCCAUUGCUCAUCUCAGUGCCCACAUAUCUGGUAGAUAUUGUCCUUGAGAUCCUUGUGAUAAACUUACCCAAUGCGUCCCAUGGCGAUGUGGAAUGCCAUGCUCUUUCCUAGACUCUAGGUUGGUGCAGCAAAGGAAAACUCUAUGGGCUCAGUGACUGGCAUGAACGUCCUUCCUAGAACUUGAACUCGAAUCAUCAACGCUCGUCUUCUGGUAAAGUGGUGAUGUAGGUCCCGGUGAAACUUGGUAUUCCGAUGUUCAGGUACCUAGUAACUUCCUUCAAAUGUCGUCCAAAAGGUGUAUCUUCAUCCGGUUGCGUAAACUUGUUCCUUGAGUCCGCCAUCCUAUAGUGUGGAAAAGGGAGAGGAGUAAGAAAUGAGUAGAGAAGAGUGACCUAUGGUUUUAGCAUAGUGGUCGUGUCCUACAGUCAUCGUGUGCUCUGAUACCAUCCUGUAGCGACCAGACCUCAAACAGUCUAGUCUCUGUGCAUCAGUGUCAUCCCUGGAUCGGUAAUGCUGACACGCACAGUACUUGAGGAUUUAUAACAGAGUCUCAACCACACACUUAUUACAUCGAAUGUCUCAAAAGAGAACUUAUUACAAUAAUAUGGCUUAAGGCCAUCUAAAUAAGAUAACAGUGGAAGGCUUGGAAGAUAAAGUGAGUCCAUCAACUCCAACGACAUAGCUGAGUGAACGACAACGAGCUAUGGCACCUUACUCGUCGUCUGAAAAGUCUGCAACAUGAUAUGUUGCAGCCCAAAACAUGUCAGCACAUGGAAUAUGCUGGCAAUGUAACACAAGAGAGUAAUGAACAUAAUAAAUGCUAUCACUACAUGCAUAUAUGGCUGGUGGAAAGCUCUAUGGUUAAAGUUUUUGCAAUAAGCCAAUUUUUUCCUACAACAAAGGAAUAGAUUUUAUUUAACUAUCAUGGUGGUUGUUAAACAUUGAGAAGGUUCCUCCAACUCAAUACCAAUUAAGCAAUAUCAAUUAAACCCAACAAAUUAAUUUAAAGUGAUGAGAUCAACAUGAUAAUCCAAGAACCAGGUACUCAAGAUGUCCAUAACCGGGGACAUGACUAACCAUGAUUAGUUUGUACACUCUGCAGAGGUUUGCGCACUUUUCCCCACAAGACUCGAUCUCCUCCGUUAGAUUUCUCACACUACAUGGUGUUUGAGAAACGGAUGACCGAGACACAGUCUUUCAGAAACAUUGACUCUUUACUCUGGAAGGACAGUUACACCUACUUUCCCCUACAUCUGCUAGCCCACCACUGAAAGAGGUCAUGCAACCUACUCAACUAUGCUGGAGCCCAUAAUAGCUUGUGGCUGCACACGGAAGUUUCUAGCAUGAAUAAUCUUAUGAUCCCUUUGAGCCUAGUUAGCGAACAAUAGGAUAAUCACAUGGGUACUCCAGGAUAUCCUAGGACAACAUUGGAUUCUCCAGGUGCCCUGACAACCACUGGGUACUCCAGGGUGCCUCAACCAAUCCACCCAGAUGUGUAUUUAUGUAGCAACCUUAAGUUAACCAUUUUUUGACAAUUCUAUCAUCUGUCAUGGAUACGCUCAACCAAUCUACGUCUACGAGCAUAGCAUAGCAAUCCUGAGCAAUCAUAGAAGUAACUCCCAAAGGUUUGAUAAUAAAAGGGCAAUAGGUUCUACCACAUCAUCUACUUCCCGAACCCACAUGUUAUUCAGAUCCUAACCAUGCAAUGUUUGAGGAUUGAGACUAAUGCAAAAAAAACUGGAUAAUAAAGAGGUAUGAUCAAAGUGUUACUUGCCUUGCUGAUGAUCCGCAAAACCUAGAGACUCGUAGUAGCAUGCUUCGCACUCCGGGUAUUCUAUCGCAAACAAAAAAUAACAUACAUAAGCACUCAACUAGAAGCACGGGUAAAACUAAAAUAAGAAGAUCUAACCAGGAAGUUCAACUGAAGAACUCUGGUUUGCAAAAAGAAUCAAAUCAAACGGAGCAACGAAACUCAAACUAUGAAAGAAACAAGAAUCGUUUACUAAUCUGGACUAAAGUCAAAUUUUACAGUACCAAAAUCUUGUCAAGUUGGUUACACAGAAAGAGGGCUUUGACGCGAAGAUCUAGGCGCGUGUUUCAUCUAAUUCAGAUAAACGAGCGAAAAGAUAAACUAGAUCGAAGAUCAGGGCAGAAACAGCGAUCGAAAAUAAUCGCGGAUAAACCCUAGAAAAUAAAACGAGACGAACAGGCUAAUGAACGAACAUUUGCUGUCUGCGACUAAUCGACGAACAACGUUCGUUAAAAUAAACGUACGGACGAACGUCUGCUAAAUAACUAAACCAAAAAAACGAACCGAUCUAUUCUAAAAAAUAGUUUUAGGUUUCUAUAAAAACCGAACGGUUAACCAAGAAAAAAAAGAUGAACGGCCGGCGGUGGCGGUGGCUACCUCUGGCGAGGCGGGGCGCGGGCGGCGGCGGCUAUGGGGCGACGGCAGGCGGCGCGGGCGUCGGCGGGAGGCGGCGGGUGGUGCAGCGACGGCAUGAAGCGGCUCCGACGGCACGGCAGGCAGCGGCAGCUCCGACGGCGGUGGUGCACUGCUACUGCGGCUUGUAGGGCGGGGCGGGGUGGCGAUGUGGGGGCGGCGGUGGCUCUAUUUAAGGGGGAAGAGGGGGUUGGGUGGCUUGGGGGGAGGGGUUGUCGGCAGCGGGAGUCCGAGGAGGCGGCGUGCGCGAGCGGGAGGCCGACUCAGGGUCAGGGACGACGCGAACUGGGCCGGCUGGGCUUCGGCCCAGUCGGUCCGAAGAACUUUUUUUUAAAUAAUUCCGUCAAACAGAAAAAAAA
RNAcentral lists this long non-coding RNA (72939 nucleotides) under Triticum aestivum (bread wheat). Its description in RNAcentral is "long non-coding RNA (TAES_LNC007275)". The stretch from base 5705 to 5839 matches the Rfam family "MIR1120/MIR1122 microRNA precursor family". Lineage: Eukaryota; Viridiplantae; Streptophyta; Magnoliopsida; Poales; Poaceae. The record is from RNAcentral.